CCCCCUCCCCCUUAGGUCGUGGAAAAUGGUAUCUCUUACGCAAUCUCGCUAGAGGGACAGAAGACAGGCUUCUACACUGAUCAACGCGAAAACCGCCGCUUCAUAUCCACCAUCUCCGCCGGCAAAAGAGUUCUUGAUCUGUGCUGCUAUAGUGGUGGAUUCGCACUUAAUGCCGCCAGAGGAGGUGCCACCACCGUCCUCGGUAUUGAUUCAUCUUUGCCUGCUUUGGAGCUCGCCAGAGAGAAUGUCAUCCUCAACCGUAUGGAUCCAGGGAACGUUGUUUUCUUCAAACAAGAUUCUACAGAGUUCAUGAAGGGCGCUCUGUCAAGGGAAGAGACAUGGGACAUUGUCAUCCUAGACCCUCCUAAGCUUGCUCCAAGGAAAAAGGUUGGCUUUGGACUUGUUUUGUUUUUCUUUUUCCUCUAUUGAUUUACAGGAAUAGUUAUUGAGGUUUUGAAUAUGCUCUGCUAGGUUUUACAUAACGCGGCAGGAAUGUACAGAAGUCUCAACUCGCUGGCGAUGAGAUUGACAAGCAGUGGAGGUUUGUUGAUGACAUGCUCAUGUUCAGGUGCCAUGACACAGAGCGGGAAGUUCUUGGGCAUUCUUCAGAGCGCUGCAGCUAUGGCGGGGAGGAAGAUCACUGUGGUUAGGGAGGCAGGAGCUGCUUCUGAUCAUCCUCUCGACCCAUCCUACCCUCAAGGCCAGUACCUCUCCAAUAUUCUGCUUCGGGUACUCUGAGUUUUCGUUUCAACAAAAAUCUCUGUAUUUUUUUUUUUUAGGUUGGUUUGGGACAAUAGUAAUUUAGUUUGAGCUUAUUUGGAACAAGAGUAAAUGUUAUACAUAUUUUUUGGAGUAUCAGCUCCACCGAAAGAACCAUUUUCACGUAUGUAUAGCAGCAUCCUAUUGUCUUUUUUACCUUAGUCUGCUCUUUCUUUAUUAACAUUGCAUGUUUCAUUAAGGGCAAUCAAGUAAUAUUAAUAACACAUUUAUAUUGGGUCAUUAUUUUCGGAUCUAGCCCACUAUCCACAUCAGAUCUUUCUUGGGCCAUUUGGACCGAUUAAGAAAUCAGAUCCAAUUCUCACAUUUUUUUUCCUUUGGGCCAUUGAGUCCAAGUUCAAAUAAUUUUUUUUUUCAACCAUUCUUAAUUAAUUUUUUUUUCUUUUCUUAAUAUAAUUUAAGCAUUCAUAAAAAAAAAUUGAUUUUUUCAUUGAAAAGUAUAAAUCUUUAUUAAAAGUAUAUAAUUAUUUUUAUUAAAUAUAUUAACCACAUAAUAAAAUUAAUUCAUCAGAGUUAUACCAACUUAAUUCAUUAAAAAAAUAAAGUUUAAUUUUUUAAACAUAAAUAGUCAUUUAAAAUGAAACACGAUAAAGAAAGAUAAAAAGUUUAAGUCUUUUAUAAAAUAAAACACAAAUAUAUGAAAUAUGACGCUAAAUAUUUGUCAAUUGAAAAAAAAAAGAAAAUAAAUCCGCGCUUUGAAAGCGCGGAUCAAAAUCUAGUUUUCUUUUAAAAGUGACGAACAAAUUUCAAAAAAUCAGAACAGUUUUAUUUGAGGAAAACCACUUCAAUCCAUUUCAUCCGAAAUUUUAGAAAGAAUGGGGUACCAACAACAAAAAAUAAGAAAAAUAACAAAAGAAUAAUAGUUAAAGUGUAAAAAAUUAUAAUUUCCGCAAAUGAAAUUAUUGUAUAGUUGAGGUAUGAUUGAACUAUACGUUACUGUUUACGAUAAUAAUUCAAUGAAUCAUGAGAUUUCCUUUUGUUCUAUCUUCCUCUGGUUAUAUAAAACAUAAUUGGCCACAGAAGAAUUAUCAAAAGAAACAGCUCCUCUUGGUAGCAUUUGAAGGUAAUCAUAAUUGUAUUUGAAUCAGAAUGUUUGAUAUUGGCAAGUGUCAAGACACUGCACAUCACACAUAUUUCGACUGUUUGUACAGCUUUGGUGAUAAAAGCUUAUAGCAACAAAGCAGUAUCGUUUGCUUAAUCUGAAAAGUUAAGGAGGUGGCUGAUCUGGGACUUGUGUAUGAAACAAGCUACUAAGGAGGAUUACUUGAAUAUGCAGUCCCCGCCCGGAGAAGCUAUCUUUAAAAAAUCAUUGGGUGAAAAGAAACAACACUGCCAUGUCUCAUCACCAUGACACAUCGCUGUUUAUCCCUUAUCUAAUGCACUUGUAUAUUUAGACUUGCGUAUUACAAACUACGUACAUGGUUGUCUCCUCUACCGUUCUGACCAUUUUGCAUAGAUUGUCAUGUGGUGAAAAGAGAGAAGACUUAAGUUUGAUGAUUUAUUAUGUUUUGCAUGGAUGCUUUAUUAUGCAUAGAUAUUACUGAAGUCGCGCACUGUGCAAAGCAAAAUGGCAAAUAAUUCAAGCAGAGAGACAUGGGGAGAAUCUAAACCACACUUUCAUGACAGUAUCAGAAACCUUUGCUUCUCACUUCUUUUGCUGAGCCUUGAGUUCUUUUACCCUCUCUUCCGUAGCUUUCAAUGCUUUCCCGUAGAUAUCAAUUAACUGCACGAAAUGAUAAGAGCCAAAUGAGGGAAACCAAGAAAAAAAGAUUUAACAGAUUAAUAAUGUCUCAAGAAUUGUAACCUAUACCUCAUCGAUCUCUUCAGGUGAGAUAAUAAGCGGUGGAGACAUCAUUAUGCCAUCACCUGCAACACGGACUAACAUACCGCGUUUCUGGCAUUCAGCUCCAAAGUAUGCGCCAACACCUGGAAGCAUCAGUUAAAUAUUAAUGUAGGGAUCUUAAUAAGGUGAUGAGUUUAGGAGAGGAGAGACACUUUUGUUUGGGUUAUUAGAUGGACUUUUUACCCCAUUCUGGUGGAAAUGGUUCGUUUGGAGAUUUGUUGUCUGUAAACUCAGUUCCCAGAAUCAAACCCGUUCCUCUUAUCUGAAAAAAAACAUCACAAAAAUGUUCAAUCAGAGACUUCAAUAGAUAAGCUGGUGAGUAAUCAACCAAUAAAGAGAAAUUAUACCUCUCCAAUAAUAGGACUGCUCUUGGCAAAAGCUUUAAGACCAUCUUGAAACCUUGGGGAAACUUUGGCGACAUGUUCUGGUAUGUUCCUCUCCCUGUCAUAUGAAUAUUGAGCGUCAAGAAAGUGCAGACAAGAAUAGAGAAACGAGAAUCAUAAUCACCAAUUUACUUGUAUAUCUUUAAAGCUUCAAUUGCUACAGCACACGAAACUGGAUGACCAGAGUAAGUAAAUCCAUGCGAGAAAGCACCUGAAAUAACCAAACCAAAAAUUGUUUCUUGAAGUAUCAGGACAUUGGAAUAUUACAAAGUUGAGCUUAACUAGCCAAUACCUAGCUUGUUGCUUUGAGAAUAUAUGACAUCUGCUACUUCUUGACUCAUAAGAAUGGCUCCAAUCGGCAUAUAAGCUGAAGAUAGUGCCUGCAUAUAUUAGAAACAUUUACCAAUUGUCCCGAGAAGUUUCUCAACAGUGAUCAGAAAUCUACAAAUUAUCUGACAAAAUCUCACCUUGGCUAAGGACACAAGAUCUGGCUUGAUGUUGUAUUUGUCACAUCCAAACAUUGUCCCCAGCCUUCCAAAUGCACAAAUCACCUUAAGAAAAGAUAUCAUUAUCCGUUUUAAUUAUGUUUGGUCUAUUUCUUCAUCGUGAUAGAAACAUGGUUCAAUAAGAUAAUGCAUAUACCUCAUCAGCAAUGAACAGGAUGUCAUACUUCUUAACAACAGCUUGAAUCUGCAGUACAGAAAUGAGAAAAAAAAAAAAAAGAACACAUCAUAUACACAAUUACCUAACCAUGAAACAAAUUAAUCAUUGGAAUUGGUAUUCACUGCCAACAAAGGUUCCGAAAAUGACCUUUUCAAAGUAUGUAGCAGGUGGAGGUAUCACACCGCCAGCACCCAUUACUGGUUCAGCGAUAAAAGCACCAAUCUGGUAAGAAGACAUUUCCGUUAGAUUGGAGCUGCCAACAUCAACGUUACUAAAUGAAGAACGUAAUUUCCUUAGAUUGCUCACAGUUUCUGGUCCCUCUUUAAUGAUAAGAUCCUCUAAAUUCUUGGCUAAUCUGGUUGAGAACUCCUCUUCCGUUUCCCCUGCACACAGAAUUAUCCAAGGUUAAAAUAAAAAGAUCACUCUUAAGCUUUUAGCAAAGCUUCCCUUUAACCAAUAAUGGAAUUUAGAAUCCUUCAUACCUGGAAGAUGAAAACGCCAGUAAUGAGGGCAAUCUGUGUGCAGCACAAACGGUGCAGGUAAAUCAAAGUUUUGAUGCAGCGCUGGGAGACUAUAAGAACAGAGGAUCAAGAUUGAUGCAUUUGUUAGACAAAUAUAAAGAGUCUAUAGCCUUUCUAAAGAGAAUAUCUGAGGAAUUAUAUUCAUCCUACCCGGACAAACUUGCUGAUAUUAAAGUGGAGCCAUGGUACCUGGAAUAAGCACUUUUGAGAUCUUAUAAAAAGCAGACAAGACACUAAAUGACAAGCAAGGAUCCUUUUCUCACGAUUUCUUUCUCGCGAUAAACUUUUUCUUCUCAGGCCUCCCAAGUGCAUUAUUGUAAUACCAAACCAGCUUGACCUGUAUCAUACAUACAUGAGAUUUAUAAGCUUCUAAACAAGGAGAUCAAGGUAGAUCAUAUAGUUUGGGGACCUCAAACCUGUGUAUCAUUGGCCUCUGAUCCACUGUUUGUAAAAAAUGCUUUGGCCAUUUUCUUGGCUGUGAACAUCUCUAAAAGAUCCUUAGCAAGAUCCUGUUUUCGCAGGAAAAAUAUAACACAACGAUCAAAUAUUACACAGCAGAAUGUACAAAAAAACAUUAUUAAUAAAAGAACACCAGAAGUAAAAAGUCUCACCAGAGAUGGCUUAGUAGUACGGUUCCAAAAGGAGUGAUAAAAGGGCAAGGUGUUCAACUGCCCUACAGCAGCAGAAACAAGCCGUGGCUCAUUUCCUCCUGCAAUAUUUUGAGGGGUGUCAAUGCUAACACUUUCACAAAUAUCCUAGGAAGAGCGAAAUAUACAAAAAGGAAAAAAGAGAAACAUCGAAGUCAAUAGUGUGGUAGCAUGCAGAAAGAACAAUACCUAAGGCUGUACACCAUAGACCAGCGAGAGAGUCAAGAUACUUCUUGCCAUGGUCAUCAUACACAUAGCUUCCCUGUAAGAAGAAUGAGAGUAAAAGAAAAAUGUCUUUUUUUUUUUUUUUUUUUGCUAAAAUUUGGAGAAAAAUGUCACACACUUGUUUGUAUCAACAUUGACAAUGUAUCAUCGUCUAUACAAAAGAAAAAAGAAGGGGGUGACCUCGGAUUUGGCAAUGAUCAAAGGAUCUAAAUCAGCACUCUGCCACCCAGCUGUAAAAGGUGCUAGCAUAUCAUGCCCUUUAGACCUGCCCAUCAGAAAACUCAUCCACUUAUUCAUCGCCACGUUGACAAAAGCAUGAAACUUUUACAGAAAAUAAUCACCAAACUUACCCAAGCUUCUCUGGUGAUGCUUCUGUAGUGAAGAUUCUCGAGCCAGGCAUGUAUUGCGAAGAAACAGCAUACCUGCUCUGCAAAGUAACCUGUCAUAUAAUAGAAAAGAGAGAUUUUUUUUAGCUAUCUAUCAAAAUCACUAUUUGAGUUAAUAUAUAGUAAAAUGGAUUCCUUGAAAUUCUUCAAGAUCACUGUUUGGGUAGUUUAUUAUUAUAAAAUUAAAAAAAAAAAAAAGGGGUUCCUUGAUUACUGGAGAAUCCCAAAAAGUUACACUCUCACAAAGUCAGUCACGUUUGAUGGGAAUAUUAUUUGAAAAUACGACUUGCAAAAAAAAGAAGAAGAAAGAAGUAAGAAAGAUUCAAUUUUUAAGCAUUUGAACAUGAAUCUGGACAGAAUCCUGAUCUACUACGGGUGACGAUGAAGCAGCUAAAAAGCAAUCAAAAGGAGCGAGUGAGAAAACCUGGGUAGUGCGCGCCAAUCGUCGGAGGCUGUUGACCACUGCCAUUUCGAAGAUAGAAUCUGUAGAAAUGAUCCUUUGAUUCUUUUGAGAUUGGUUCCCUUCUAAUAACAGAGGAGGAUCAUCAUCGUUGAUACACCUCCCUUGUAUGAAAACUCUACAAAAUUAAAUAUCUUUUUCUUACUUAUUUAUCUCUUCGAGUCCCAUUUGAUUUUGAGUUAAUUAGGUUAAAAUCCUAAAACAAUGUUGAAAUUGGCAAAAUACCCAAAACAAAAAUAUUGUGGGGGUUUGUUUUUCUCUGUGUCAAAGAAAAUUACUUUAGUGUCCCUAAACUAUGUUCAAGUCAAUUUAUAGACGCUCUCAGACGAUGUUCUCGAGGAGCUACAGAAGCUUUUUCCCAAUCCACCAUUUCACCACAUACUCAAAAUUUGAAUCUCGUAUUCCUCCUCCUCCUUUACCAUGUUCUUGACCAUGUCUGAGGCGGUGGAGCAUCUUGCCGGUGUUUUCUCUCUUACUUGUUGGUGAUGUCGUCGAACUUUUUUUUGGAUCUGAGAAACCAAAGACGCGCCUCCGCUCACUUGCUGCGCCUCCACCUCUGCUUCUUUGCAGCACAUUUGCGUCUCGUCAGCGCCUCCAUCUCUCUUCCGUGACUCUGUGCUUCUCUUCAGCACAUAUGAAGCACAAAAUAGUUCAAUGUCGGAAGCAAUGGUUAGUUGAUGUGCAGUUACAAUGGUUAUAAAAAUAGUUUGAAUUGUUUCUUGCUUUAUUGGCAUGAUAAUAAAUUGUUUAGACAGAAAAUAAAAUGUGAUCAAAUUUUUAAUGUAAUGAUUAAAUAUCAACUGUGGUGCGAAUAUUACUGUUUAAUGAGAAUACAUCCGUGUUUUAUGAUUAGGUGUUGUGGUGUCUAGCAAUCAAGACCAUGUCCUUCCUCUGGAUGCGAUCGCUAGAGGUGAUGCACCAUGCUUAAAACGUGGAGGUGGUGAGCACCAGACCAUGGAGAACAUAAACUCGGGGGAGAUGUAGACAACUGGUCGAGCGUCGUUGAAGCUAACUUUGGCAUGCAGAAAAGUGGAAAAAAUAUGUAGUGAAGUCAAAGGUUGGGGAGACAUCCUCGGAAGGCAGCAACACCCAUGGUGGGUGUUGAGUGGAGUCAACCAUUAAUGAUUGGGUCUUGUGUUAUACUAUGGAAGCUUAGGAUCUAUUUUCUAAAUGUCUACGAGUUUUUGUAAAACGGGUAACAUAAAAUUUAGCCGGGGUAGUAAGUUUUUGGAUGGUUAAAAUUUUGUGUACCCGUUUAUAGAAACAAUUAGCCUAAUGUAAGGAAGUUAACCUAAAUGAUAUGAAGAUCUAAUGUAAGGAAUUUAAAGUUUAGCCAGGAGUAAUAAAUUUUUGGAUGGAUAAAUUUUGAAUAACUGUUUGUAGAAACAAUUAGCCUAAUGUAAGGAAGUUAGCUUGUUUUAUAAUAUGAAACUAUAAUGUAAGAGCUUUUGUUUGUAUGCUUGGUGUGAAUUAAUCAGAAUUUGGUAAAUAAGCCCAUACGUAUAAACUGAGGCACAUGUGUAUCAUCUACCACCAUUUUUAUCUAUAAUACAUUUAUAAAGUGAUAUUAUCCAGCUAACAACAAGUAUACAAUCUAAUAAAUUAUGUAACCCUCUAUUACCUUUGGGUUGUUACAAUGCACCAAAAUAACCGUCUAACAUCACUUGUAUUACAAUUUUCUUAUUUAUAAUCCGUUUAAAUAAAAUGAUAUUCGUAUAUGUACUUAUUUUCCCAAUUAGCCGUAUACAUAAAAUAAUAUUUGGCUAGAAUUUGUAUUAUCUGGAAAAAUAUGUAAUUGUCUAUCCAACAAGAGCAAUAACUAUCAAAACAAUCACUUUUGUUAGAUUUCUUUUUAAUCUACUUUCUUCUUCAACCUCUUCACAACGUUUCGGCAAUGGAGGAUUCAAACCAAUUUCAUUUCUCUAAGAUACUUUGCUCUCGAUUUUAUUCACAGGAAAAAAAUUGAACACUUAUGUCACAAACUCUGUUUCUUCUCCAGCUACAUCUAUCUCCAGUCAAUUUCCACGAGCUUUCCGAAUUGAGACUCUUUAAUAAAAGCGACUUCGUGUUCAUCGAAGGCGUUUAGAAUUUUGUUUAUACACUGAGGGUUUGUGAUAAGGGGUAACCCUAACGCCAAGAGGUUCGUCGCCAAUGGCAAACAUCCUAUGAGGAAAUGGAGGAUGAGGGAUUACACCAGUGCUAGGAGCCAUAGAAAUCUUAGCUUUUGCUGGUGGUUAGGAAUGAGAGAACUAAGAAAUUGAUACUGUUAAUUGAUAAUGGAAACAACGAACAGACAAAAACCUGAUUAUAAAGGAGUAAGAAAGAGGUUUCCAGAUACGACAAUUUAAUUUUAUGGAGAAAAACUACGAAAAUAAUAUAAUAUGUCAAGUGGUAUGAGAGAGGAGCUUUAGUGUAUUGUUAUCAAAUAAAUAAGCAGACAAUAUAUAUCUUAUGAAAUAAGAAUAGGGGUAUAAUGGUCCAUGAUUUUUUGACAAAAACAAUGAAACACCUUCAUGUGUAUAUAGUUAAAUAUGGAAUAACUUGUGUGUGUAGAGCGCAAUUUCUCUAUAUUCUUUAUGGAGUGUAACCACCUUUAAAUUUAAUGAAAUUGUUGUGCUUGAUUUUUUAUCAGUGACGUGUCAUUGACUCAUUUUAUUACAUUUAUAUUUUAGUUUCUUUUCAUUUUACCAUAUCAAAUCGCACCAACUACGCCAGCUAGUUUUUUUAUUUAAUUACAAAGUUGAUUACAUCCUAUUAAAUUAAAGUUAGUAGGAACAAAAUAAUUAUGUCUCUGUGAAUAUUUUUAGUAUAAAAAAACAUUAAAAAAAAACAUAUCGUGGUAAGAGAUCGAUGAUAGAAUCAUUUUCAGUACUGCUAAAUUGUUGGGUUUCCAUUUUGGUGAUUGGUUACCGUAUACUUUUUUUUGGGUCUAAAGGUUACCGCCUUACCGUAUACUUGUUUUACCUAUUGCAGGCUUUGCAGCUACAGGUUAUGGCCGAUUAUUAUUGUCGAGAUAGACAUCUUCGUUGAUAUGUUCAUUUUGUUUUUCCAUUUAAUAACUUGAAUCAUAUAGUAACUCAACGCUACAAACCAAGCACAAAGUUUUAAAUCAUUAGGUUUAUAUAUAUGUUUAUCGAUGCAUGAAACAAUAGAGAGAAAACGAUCCGUGUCACAAAAAUUACAAAUCAGUCACAUCCAUGUCGUAGAUGAGAAUGACAAGACAGUCACAUAAGAUAAGAAACUUUUUUUGUCUUCUCAUUCAAAUAAAAAUAUUUUAAAACUUAUUUAGUAUACAGAAAAAGAAUUAAGAAACUAAACUGUGUGGCGUUUUACAGCUUAACAAACGCUGAGAAGUUCAGGUUACAAGGCGCAAUUUAGCACCCUGACGGCGUGCAAUCUAUCCAUCAUUCAUUCGUAUCUGAGUAGAGGGAAACGAAACGAUAAAUCAAUUUCUAGCAAGUCAAUUCCUAUCUGUCAAUCUUCUUCGCAUUUUAGAGGGAGAAAAUGAGACUCUUUAGAGAGAGAGAGAGAGAAAAAGUAGGCAAGAAAGACGGUCACUGACUAAAUAAAAGAUCACUCACUCACACACCCUUUCAAGAGAUCUCAUCGCCCGAUCUUUCCUUCCUUCCUUCCUUCCCCGCCGGUAAAGUUUCUUAACUUUGCUUCUUCUCUCGUGUCUCUUCGUUUCUCAAUUUGAGAAUUUACUGCAAAGUUUCCUUAUUUAUUACAAUACAGAGUUGCUGAUUAAAAGUAUUCAUCAAUAAAGUUUUGGUUUUAAUUUUGAGAUCCUAACAUUGUCCGAAGAAUCUAGCUACUCAAUUGAGUUUCCUUACUUGUGUAUCUAUUGCUGCUUCAACCCAAAAAAGGAAAGUUUGUUUAUUUCUGAAUAAUUCAGCUGCUAAAUGCAAUUCUGCAGGUAGCUCUUAACUUGCUUAAGAUACAAUGGGUGCUUCUGGGAGAUGGAUUAAAGCAUUGGUUGGUUUCACCAAGUCUGAUAAGUCAAAGUCUAAAAAGAAGGAUGAUAAUGUAUGCUCUUUCAUUACCUAUAGAAUCUAUUUAUCUAAAUGCCAAUUGCUGGUUAGAGAUGUAUACUUUCUUCAUUAUAUGUUUGUUCAAUUGGCGAAGGUGAAGACUGCAACCAAGAGCCGGUCUGGGAGAAACCAUUCUGUUGAUUUUGAUGCUGAAAAGUUUCAACUUGGAUUUGAAGAUUCCAAUACGCAUAGCAGCAUGUUAGAUAAUGGGGUCUCCACUUCAACUUCUUAUGGUGCUGCUAAUGAAGAACAAAGGAAGGAGCAUAUGGCUGCAACUCGGAUUCAAACAGCUUUUCGAGGAUUCCUGGUAUCAUUAUCACUUUCUUCGCCCUGUUAACUUUUUUUUUAAUAUUUGUCUCAAGCGUUACUGAGAGAGAAAGAUGAUACCUUUUUUCUCAGGCUAGAAGGGCUUUACGAGCAUUGAAGGGAUUGGUUAGACUUCAGGCCCUUGUUAGAGGACACGCGGUGAGAAAGCAAGCUGCUGUAACGCUUCGAUGCAUGCAAGCGUUAGUAAGAGUUCAGGCUCGUGUUCGCGCAAGACGUGUUCGUCUCGCCUUGGAAAGUGAAACGGGUCCGCAGAUUCUUCAGCAACAGCUUGCAGAUGAAGCCAGGGUUCGAGAAAUAGAGGUGUGAUGAUCACUUGUCUCAGUUAUUUACUUUUUUUAAAAAAUCUUUUGCAAAGAUAACUAUAGUCAUGUUGACUAUGUGUUAUCAUUUUUCAGGAAGGUUGGUGUUAUAGCAUUGGUUCUGUUGAACAAAUCCAAGCCAAGAUACUAAAGAGGCAGGAAGCUGCAGCUAAGCGUGAGAGGGCUAUGGCAUACGCUUUGACUCACCAGGUUACUCACAACCUAUGUGCUUGUUUAGAAGUAAAUUGUUUGAAUUUUCUCACUUUGUACUAAUCAUAACAUUCCAUAAUAGUCUAUCUGAUCGUCUUCUAUAAGAUCAAUCUUUCACAAAACACUAUGAUAGCAAAAGGAUAUUUGUUUCUCUUCUCUUACAUAUAAAUUUGGUAUGUUGUAGUGGCAAGCAGGAACUCGGCAGUUAUCUGCGCACAGUGGUUUUCAGCCUGACAAAAACAACUGGGGAUGGAACUGGCUAGAAAGAUGGAUGGCUGUUCGUCCAUGGGAGAAUCGGUAUCUUGACAGCAACCUCAGGGACGAUGCCAUAUUAGCUGAAAACAAUAUGGAGCAGUCUGAGAAUGUUGUGCAUAAAACUCAGAUGAAGAUUGCAAGCAAGAUUCCAAACACUUCAAAUCUUGCGUCCGGUGUUUCAAGUCAGAAGGUAACCGGGCCAUCUCUGUCAGAUGGUAAUUCGUCUUCACCUGGAAUAUCUUCAAGCAUGCCGGUGCCAGUGGUGUCCAAGGAUAGGUCAAAGCUCGCUAAAGACGAUCUUGCUGUAGAAGUUGUUAACUCAAGACCUGGUGCUGGUCCAAGAUCACACAGCAAUCCAAAAGAAAGAUCAAGAGCGCCAGAUAAAGCUUCUAAGGAGCGGUUAUCUCUGCCAAACAGUGGUCCGAUCUCUUUCUCUAACCCCUAGGAUUCGUUCCUCUUUUCUUUUUUGCCCUUUUUGAUGGUUGAGUGAAUAGUCUUAUCAACAUGGUGAUAGUGAUAAGAAAAUCAGCUUUGUAUUAGUCAUAAAGAUACAGACCACAACUUAGAUAUUAGGAUAGCUAGGUGUCGUCAGUGGAGACUUUGACCAUGCCUCAAUCGAUCUGUAUACGUCUAAGAAGCAAUACAUUUGAUCUUUGAAACAUUUAGGCUGUCUUUUGACCUUUUUUUUUCCUUUUUAAGGCUAAAACUGUGAACAUUCGUUCUUGAGCAGGAAAAUCCUUGGGACCUCAGUCAGCUAAAGCCAAAUCUUCCCAAAACCAGAAAAGACGCAACCCCGAUCCAAUAAAACAGAGGCUUGCAUAGCCCUGGCUAGAGUCUCUGAGAAUCGUCAGUCCAUCUAUCACUCCCAUCGUUCCUGUACAUACACAGCUUCUGAAAAUGGAAACAAAAAAAAAAAAGAGAAAAAGAGGAUAUCAUGUGAGAAUACAAUGGGUUACAUUCAGACUUGCUUGGUGGUACAUUGAUCAGAAGAGAACACCAUCGUCUUGGCGUCUUUCUGCUUUCAUUGUUGUUUGUUAUUUACGUGUCAGCCAUCCUUUUUUGUCCAUGAUUCUUAAAUGGAUUGGUAAGUAAUAUUAUUAUUAUUCAAGUAAAGUUGUUUGGGGUAUAUCUUGUGAGACAGUUUUAUGUUGGGAGGACGGACCAUGCUUCUCAUGGCCUUCCCAAUGUGAUAUAUAUAGUGUGUUGUAUUUGGUAUAUGUUCGAAUGUUUCAGAGUGAUGAUAUUAUCAUGAUAAGGUAUCACUUGGCUUGUCAUCUUUUCGAAACGGGAAAGUGAUUUAAUUAAAGUGCAGCGAAGGAAAUGUCAACAAGUGAAUGGAUCAUGAAAGAAAAAGCCCUAAACAUCAACAAAAAGUAUUCCCUGUGAAAGUUUUCUAAGCAAGCCAACAUGCAAUAGAAUUAUAGAAGAUAGCUAGAGGCUUGUAGCAAUAUUUGUAGGAACAAAGUCCACUCUUUGAGCAUCUCCUACAUAAUCUUCCACACUAUAGUUGUCUGUCUGCUAUGGUACAACUCCUGGAGGCGAGUGCAACUGACUUGCUAGUUUCAUCGAUUUUUUGGACAUAUCUCUGCCCGAUAUCAAGUAUUGACAUGAUUCUUGGAUCCACAGGACCACACAGAACAAAAGACGAAGAGCCCUCAAACACAUGAUACAUUAUCAGAGAUGAUCAUAAGCUAUGGAACCUGAAACUCGUGUUGAAUUUGCAAACAUCCAUGUGUGUUGUGGUAUUUGGUUAGAUGGUUUUAUCCUAAGAUUUCAAGUUGCUAAACCUCAUAUGUAUCUCUUACUAGAUUUGGAAGUACACACUGUUUGAAUAAGCAUUAUAAACAUAACACCGGAGAGUAAAGGCAGAUCAAAAUGUUUUCCCAAAAGCAUAGUAAGCGACCACCACCAACAGGCAAAACACUUCAUUAUUACAUUAGGACUAAUUCUGAUAAACAAAUUAGCUACUGAUAUACUCCCUCUGUUUUAUAUUGUAAGCAGUUUUAGCAAAAAAUGUUUGUUUCACAAUAUAAGUAGUUUUCAUAUUUCAAUGCACAUUUUCUUUUUGUUGGAUAUUGUGUAACCAAUCAAAUAAUGCUAGUUUUUUUAUAAUAGGUUGAGUUUAUUAAUUAAAUACUAUUUUUUACAAAAGCAACAAUUUCUUAAUAUUAGUGCUUUUAACUAAAACUACUUACAAUAUGGAACAAAGGGAGUAUGUUUUAGCAUAGUUUCGAUUUGUUUUUCAUAAAAAUUAAUGUAAUUCUCCGAAAUAGCAGAUUUUGAAAAUUACACAUACACAGAUUUACAAGCCUAUUAGAAAUUUUCUACCACAAUGAAUUUUACACACACACAUAUUCACACUGGGUUAGUCAUGAAUCUGAAAGAAGAGUUGAAACCUUCUGUUAUACAACCUAAAUACCACUAUAUGAUAUCUUUUUUUUUGUCAUCUGAUAAUAUUAUAAAGGAUAAAGCCCAAGCUAUACAACACAAAAGGCCCAAAAGCCAAGCCAAACGAAAACAAAGAAAAAACAAGAGGCUCCAGAGGACCCAACCACAAAAUAGCCUAAGUGAGAAAUGGAGUUCGAGUCAACCUCAACACACGUCUUACGGAAGAGAGAUAGAGGGGCACGUGGAAGCACAAUCGACACCCGUCACCAACGACCGGAAAAUCUUCACCGGAGCAGCUCACCGACAGUCCACCGGAACACACCAGAGCAGGACAUAGAUGAGGAGAAGCUGUCGGACGACUUUAGCAAUUAAGAGGCCACACCGACAAAGGCUAAAACGCCGGAGCCUGACUAACAAGAUCACAUCAAAUCGGCCCAAUCCGAGAACAUAUCCGAAAAACAAAGCCACCAAAGACGUCAAAGUCCAUGCCAAAAGAUCUCUGCUUCAUCAAUCGACAACCACGCUUCCAAUAACGAUGUUCCUGCAAGAAUCACGAGGCACCUUUGAUGAUAGAAGGAAGCUUGAAGAUGCAACAACUCUACCCGAGAGAAGGAAAGAUCAAGCGGAAAUUGGAACAAAGGCGACUGCGCAGCGGAAGUCGAGACGUCAGAGAUCGAACCAGACCGGGAAAGGAUCCCGGAGAGAAGCCGUCGUCAUCACCGGAGAAGUAAGUGAGACGCCGGAGCCAAGAGCCAGUGGGAACGUCAGAGAAGAAUGCCUACCACCGGAGCCAAAAGCCGACCAGUCUGUUCUAACCCCUGUUCCGAACUAUGCUAGGCGCUAGUCGGGCGGCUACUCCGGACCUAGCGAGUUACCAAAAAAUCGGGGAGUAAUCGGGGUAUACGCGGAGCCUAGUUUUUAAUACGAUUUAAUAUAUUUAUAAUAUGUUUAAGUACCAAAUAUAUGUUUUAAUACAUGCUUAUAUAACUUUUACAGAAUAACAUUGUUUUUCCAGUAUACAUUUGGUUCAAAAGUCACAAAAAGAAACUUCCAAUUCAUGAGAUAAACAAAAAAAAAAACAGAAUGUUUUGAUCUUGAAAACACAAACUACAAUAAAAGAUUGCAAGUCUUCAUCCUUUUUGUCUUCAGGUCAAAUAAGUAAUCACCAUGAAUUGGGAAGAUGGGUUAGGAAUUAGAUCUUGCAGCAUACACCUGCAAUAGUUUGGACAAUACGAUCAAACUUGCAAUUAAACCAUGGCAAAUAAAAAGACAUACAAUAACCAAUACCUAUAAACCAGAGCAUAUAAAGAGAGACAUCAUGUUAGAUACAAACACUUGACUGACCAUCAAUAACAAAUUAAAAUCAAAUUUCUCAGAAGUUCAUUAACAAAAAAACUAUACUCAUGUAUAUUAUAUGCGAUGUAUGAUUCUUCGUGUGAACAAGAACUACAAUGUAUGAGUCUUCGAUACUUUGAUGACAGGAAACAUUAGUCUUCUAUGUUUUGAUAACAUAAAAAAACGUGAACAGAAAGAAGAUAAAAACAAACAAGUACGUUGAAUCCAGACAAAGAAUUAAAAUCAGUUUCACACAAACACAAGCAAGCAAAACGAAGAAGCAAAAGAAAAAAGAUUAUUACCUUGAAUUCGCGAACAGAGAACAGUUGGCCCACAAUUUUGUCUUGAACUAGGCGGCCGCAUUUCAGAUUUACGUGGAUGUUGUGCGGUCCACCGAUUUGAGUCACCGAAUUGCCUCAGCUCCGAGUCGCGCCUAAGCGUCCGCGUUUUCGAACAGGGGUUCUAACUAAGCAACAGAUGUCAGAACCUCAUCCCCUACAGAGGGGACAUAUCGCCGGACACAACCGCCGAACGACCAUCGAGUCGGACUCUCUCUCUGAAAGAUACAAAGAGAGUUAAGAGAGAGCCCCCUUUCUUUUGAUUUUGGUUUGACCACUAUAUGAUAUCUUUUUUUUUGAACACCUAAAACAAAUCCACUAUAUGAUAUCUAAAGUAUACAAAAUAAAUAAAUAGAUAUUAUUGCAAAUAAAAAACAAAAGCUAAAAUAUCGAACAAGUACAAUCUUUAAUCGUUAGUGGACCAGCCAUAUAAAAGCCUAACUCUAGAACUAGAAGAGGCCUACUUUAUAUAUGUAUAUUCAUAAUGCCAUUAGUCACGCUUCAUCUAAAAUUACCAAGUCAGUAUUGGCACGCGCAACGCGUGCGCAGUGGAGAAGAUAUGGAACACACACACACGCAUUUUUUUAAACGGAGAGAGAGAGACAGAGACAUACAGAGAGAAACCCUAGACACCAAAGAAAAAAGAAAAAAAAGGAAUCGUGCCUCCUCCUCCUCCGCCCACUCGCCCCCUCAGAUCGCGUGAACAUCACAAACCAUUUUCUCUCCUCCUUCCCUCUCUCUCUAUCAUCCAUCUCCCCCCUUCCGCAGAUCGAAACGCCAACUCGCACCGAUUGGCGCGUGGCUCCUCCUGGCGACGAGAUUACAGCUUAUUGCUUUCGAUUCACCUCUCUGCUCGUCUUCGUUACAGGUGAUUCCAUCUCAUCUUCGUUACAGUGAAAAAACGACCACGGAUUCUAUAUAUACAUUGAGAAUUUCCGAUUAAUCGUGUUGCAGGAAGUCAUGGACAUAGAUCUUCGACUACAUUCAGGCGACCUCUGCAAAGAAGGCGACGAUGAAGAACACAGAGGACUUGACAACGAAGACAUAGACAUUAGCAAAGUCGAGGAUGACGUCACCGUCGAGGUACACACCGAUAACAACAGCACUGCAGCAGGCAUCACUCUUCCAGAGCACAACACACAACAACAAGGCGUGAACCUUGAACCGCUUAACGGCAUGGAGUUCAACUCGCACGGCGAAGCGUAUACCUUCUACCAAGAGUACUCUCGAACCAUCGGCUUCAACACUGCGAUACAGAACAGUCGCAGGUCGAAAACCACGAGAGAGUUUAUCGACGCCAAGUUCGCUUGCUCUAGGUACGGUACUAAACGGGAGUACGACAAGUCUUUCAACCGGCCGAGAGCUAGGCAGAGCAAGCAGGAUCAUCCUGAAAACAACAUGUCUGGUCGGAGGACGUGUGCCAAGACUGAUUGUAAAGCGAGUAUGCACGUUAAGAGGAAGCCUGAUGGGAAGUGGGUGAUUCACAGCUUUGUGAGGGAUCAUAACCACGACCUUUUGCCUGCUCAAGCUGUGAGCGAGCAGACGAGGAAGAUCUACGCUGCGAUGGCUAAGCAGUUCGCUGAGUACAAGACUGUCAUCAGCUUGAAGAGUGAGUCCAAAACUUCUUUUGAGAAAGGUCGGAGUUUGUCUGUGGAGACUGGGGAUUUCAAGGUUCUCCUUGAGUUCUUGUCGCGGAUGCAGAUUCUGAACUCCAACUUCUUUUACGCGGUAGAUCUUGGUGAUGAUCACAGGGUGAAGAAUGUGUUUUGGGUUGAUGCCAAGAGCAGGGUUAACUAUGGCAGUUUUUGUGAUGUUGUUUCUCUUGAUACUACCUAUGUGAGAAACAAGUACAAGAUGCCACUUGCUAUUUUUGUUGGUGUGAACCAGCAUUACCAGUAUAUGGUCCUUGGGUGUGCUUUACUAUCUGACGAGAGCGCAGCUACAUUCUCUUGGCUAAUGGAGACCUGGCUGAGAGCGAUGGGUGGACAAGCUCCGAAGGUUUUGAUCACUGAGCAAGAUCCUCUGUUGAACUCCAUUGUCCCUGAGGUCUUCCCCAAUACACAGCAUUGCCUUUUCCUUUGGCAUGUCUUGAUUAAGGUCUCUGAGAAUCUUGGUCAAGUCGCUAAGCAACAUGAGAAUUUUACAGCGAAGUUUGAGAAGUGCAUCUAUAAAUCAUGGAAGGAGGAAGACUUUGCGAGGAGAUGGUGGAAGAUUCUUGCUAGAUUCGGUCUCAAAGACGAUCAAUGGAUGCAGUCUUUAUAUGAAGACCGAAGGAAAUGGGCACCGACCUACAUGACCGAUGUUCUUUUGGCAGGGAUGUCUACGUCUCUUAGAGCUGACAGUGUUAAUGCUUUCUUCGACAAGUACUUGCACAAGAAGACGAGCGUACAGGAGUUUGUGAAACUGUAUGAUACGAUUUUGCAAGAUAGAUUUGAAGAAGAAGCCAAAGCUGAUUCGGAAACAUGGAACAAGCCACCAACGAUGAAGUCCCCAUCGCCAUUUGAGAAGAGUGUUUCCGACGUCUAUACUCCUGCUGUAUUCAAAAAGUUCCAGAUCGAAGUUUUGGGUGCAAUCGCGUGUAGUCCCAGGGAGGAGAACCGAGAUGCUACGUGCUCUGCUUUUAGAGUUCAGGAUUUUGAAAACAACCAGGACUUCGUGGUUUCAUGGAGCCAAGCAAAGGCUGAAGUCUCUUGCAUGUGUCGGUUAUUUGAGUAUAAAGGCUAUCUAUGCAGACACACGCUUAACGUUCUCCAGUGUUGUCAUCUUUCUUCCAUCCCCUCUCAGUACAUAUUGAAACGGUGGACCAAAGAUGCAAGAAGCCAGCAUUGUCCAGGAGAACCUCAGCAGUUGCAGACGAGGCUCCAGAGGUAUAAUGAUUUGUGCCAGAGAGCUUUAAAGCUGAGUGAAGAGGCAUCCAUCUCUCAAGAGAGUUACAAUAUUGCCUUCCCUGCUAUUGAAGAAGCUUUGGGGAACUGUGCUGGUGUUAAUACUUCCGGCAGAAGUCUUCCAGAUGUGGUCGCUUCGCCAACACAAGGUCUGAUAUCCGUCGAGGAGGAUAAUCAGAGCAGAAGUGCAGUCAAGACGACGAGCAAGAAAAAGAAUCCAACUAAGAAAAGAAAAGUAAACUUCUUGUUCAUGAUCUCUCUGUACAUGCACAACUUAAGGUUUUUCUUAGCUUUGCGCUUUUAUGAAUUGCAAGUCUUAUGAUCCUGACUGACUAUGGAUUGCAGGUGAACUCAGAGCAGGAGGUAAUUCCAGUUGCAGCGCCAGAAAGCUUGCAACAGAUGGUCUGUCUUUGUUAUUAACAUGUAGUAGAAAGACUCUGUUAAACUAGAGAGAGUCCCCUAAGUAUAUGAUAUCUGAAUUUUGUAAUUUGCAGGAUAAGUUAAGUCCAAGGACAGUUGGCUUAGAAAGUUAUUAUGGAACACAGCAAAGCGUGCAAAAUCUGGUAACUAAGCACAAAUUACUUGUUAAUAUUCUCUUAUAGACUGAGAUUUUUGUUUGUAAUGUGGUCUGAUUAUAUGUGUGUUUACAGGUCCAGCUGAACUUAAUGGCGCCAAAUCGCGAUAACUUUUAUGGGAAUCAACAAACAAUCCAAGGAUUGGUAUGGAAAUUUCCACCAUCAACACCUAUCUGUAACUAAGCUUCUGUUGUUUUUUUCUAUCAUUUAACUUUGGAUAAAAACAAAAAAAUCCCCGGCUGGUUUUCUGUAGCGACAGUUGAACUCAAUAGCACCAAGCUACGACAGUUACUACACUGCUCAGCAAGGCAUCCAUGGACAGGUACCUUACCUUAUUCUCAGACUCAGAGCUUUUACUUGAUUGCAAAACCUAUUCAAAAAAUGAUCACUCUUUACUUUUGUUCUUUCUAGGGAGUAGAUUUCUUCCGUCCUCCCAACUUUACUUACGAUAUCCGGGUAAAUUUUCAGUUCUAGUAACAUAUUUGCAUCUCUAGUGGUGAAUUUUUGUUCAUGGAAACAAUUGUUUAUUACUGUACAGGAUGAUCCUAAUGUGAGGACGACACAGUUGCAUGAGGACGCGUCUAGACACACUUAAACCAGGCUAAAACCUAACCAAGGUUCAAAUCUUAAAGAGCGUCCGUCCCUCUGUAGACAAAAAGCCAACAAGCACUUGGAAGAUGAAGCUCAUUUCUCGAUCAGGUUUUGGAAACAGAACAAGGAGCAUUUCUUGUUUUAUCGGCUCAAGUGUUUAAAUAGGAUAUGGUGUAUUGUUUCGGUUAUAAAGAUACCGCUUCUGUUAAUAUUUGGUCGUGUGUGUAUUAGUUCUUGAUGAUCCCCAAAAAGCUUUUGAUCAUUGAUUGUUCGAAUUUAGAGGAGGGGGAAACAUUUGUUUAGAAGAUAUUUAUCUAUUUAUAAACUCUUGUUAAUUCUUUUGAUCAAGUUUCUUAUAAUUGCAUCAGAUUAUUCCCUGAUCUUAAGCCACAAUAUGGUCUGUUGUUUUGCUCUUUGAUCCUCGUACAAUAUCUAAGACAAUCUUCAACCUAUUUCUAUUCUUUUUAUACUUUUCUUCUAGAAUAAAAGAAAUUAUUAUAGAUGUAGAUUUACUCUAAUAUAUGCUUCUAAAAUAGAGUUUUUUUUUUUUUUUCAAAACAAAAUAUAAAAAAAUAUUAUUUUCAUCUAUAUAAAACUACUAUUGUUUUAUAUUUUACUCUGUAAAUAGAGAAAUUCUAUUAUAACGUUAUACAUCGGAGAGAUCAUCACCUUAGAAGAGAUGACGAGAAAAUGGUUUAAGCUCGAUCAUCACAUUCUUUUAUUCAUUUUCGUUGAAUAGACAUACAUAGCAUCUGUAAAUAGUUUCAAGUUUCAUCAAUAAAUUUGAUAUUCAAUUAAAAAAAGAAGUUAUACAUUGGAAUAAUAUCACCAUUAUAAUAGAGUUUUCUAUUUUGCGAGAAAAUGUAAAAAUAUAUCGGUGAUGCUCUUAUAACGUGCUCAUAUGAGCAGUGUGAUGAGUGUUUUGCCCAGAAACUAAAAAAUUGAAACACAGAAAAACAUACAUUCCAAAAACUAAAAAAUUGAAAAUAUAAAUUUUGAUUCACAUAUUAGAUUUAGUAAUCAUUCAACAUUGUAAAUUCUGUGGUUUUCUAAACUGAUUUAAUGAACAACACUCCUAAACAAAUAAUGAUUCAUUGUCACUUAUUCAACUCAGUCUCAAGCUGAUGUUUACAAGAUUUUAGCCCCCCCCUAAAGUAUAUAUUAUAUGUGUGAAUUGAUGCAAAGUUCUAACAAAAGAGAACGAUGAUGUAGUUCCCCAUAUUACAUAUCACACGUCAGGAUUAGAUUAUGGUUUUGUUUGAAAAUUCUCACUAGUUUCAUGUCUGAUCUUUGGUCGUAACUUGAUUUACAUUCAUUCCAAGUCACCUACCCCCGUCAAUUAAUUUAUGCCCACUCAUUCCUUAAUCAACUGCGUAAAUAAUAUGUACACCUAUGGUCCUAUCAAUUAUCAAAACACUAGUGUCUUGAGUAUCAUAUACGAAAGUUGUUUCUUUAUUUAGUUGCUCUUUUUUAUUGGAUAAUCGACUAAUCGUUUUCGCUAAUUAAAACAGCCUAUAGGCUUCUCAUUACGCUAUGGAUUUGAACAACAUUGUCGGCAUAUUAUAAUCCUAUUACGUCUAACCUAUUUUAAAAAAUGAUAUAGUACUAUACUAUAUAACAAAAUCUCGUCGUUAUUAUCAUUAUCGUACAUCCGUCGUUAUUCAUUCGUGCUAUAUAAUACGGCUAUCGCACCAAGCAGGCAACGUGAUAUGAAAUAUAUUAACAUUUUGGUUAGGAAUAACGUAACAGAAAAAUAUGUCGUCAGCUAUGUGACGAUUAUGUAAAGUGAGGCACUUAUUUACUAAUUUAAUGAAAGAAUAUACACAGUAAAUUAGGCAAAUUUCGUCAACUUGUUGGGAAAGUAGCCAACCAACCCAAUACAAAACUAAAUUCUACUAGUUAGUUUCUUGGUAAAAACUCAACUAAUUGUAACUUUAAGCUGUUUUAUUAUUGGGCAAAUCUCCAAAAUAUCACAUUUUUAAUUUUAUGUCACAAAAAUAGUCUUCAAAAACUAAAAUGAUCAGAAUAGCAUUUUAUAUUUUGAAAAAACUAAUUUUUUUUAUUUUUCAAAAUUUAAAAUCUUAUUCCAAAACCCCACUCCCCAACUCUAAACCCUAAACCCUAAACCCUAAAUCGUAAACCCUAAACCCUAAAACCUAAACCCCACCCCUUAACUCUAAACCCUAAGCCCUAAACCCCACCCCUAAACUCUAAACCCUAAACUUUAAACCCUAAAUCCUAAACUCUAAAUCCUAAACCCCACCCCAUAACUCUAAACCCUAAUGUCUAAAUUAAUUUACCAUUGGGAUGUAAAUAUAUAUUUAUCUCUUUUGAUAAAAUAUUAAGUGCUAUUUUGGUCAUUUUUAUUCUUAGAAACUAUAUUUAUGAUAAAAAAAUUUUUAUUGCUAUCUAGUCAUUUUCUCUUUAUUAUUUUUUCCAAUAUCAUGAUAAUAUCGAAUAAGAUUAAAUCAUUUAGUUAUUAAAAAGAUUAAAUCAUGUUAAUAAAGUAAGUAUAUUAGUAUACUAUAUAUAUAUAUAUUUUUUAUUUUAGUUAGGAAAGAAAUGCUAAGCCACAGAAUCUAAUAUGUUUCCUAAAUCAACGGUCAUGAUUGAUUUUGAAUAGUCUUCCUUUUGACCAAGUCUAAUCACUAAACCUAAAUAAAUAAACAACAAACGAAGGCAAAUGCUGUUUUGUUACUUAUUACAAUCUCUCAGUCUUGAGACAACACAAAAUGGCUAACUCAAACGAUUGGUCUCACCUCUACAGCAACAACCAAGCCUUCUACACAACUUCCACCAUCACUUCAACCGCCGUCACAACCACCACAGCAGCUUCUCCCUCCGGUGAAGCCACCUCCAUGGACUCUCGUCUUAGUCCAGAAACAGGCCGUGUAACCAAACCGGCACGUAGAAGAUCAAGAGCCUCACGUAGAACACCAACAACACUUCUCAACACGGACACAUCAAACUUCCGCGCCAUGGUUCAGCAUUUCACGGGCGGUCCAUCCGCUAUGGCUUUCGGGUCAGGUAAUACCACUUCCGGUUUUAGCCUCACCUCUUCGUCGGAUCCAUCCGCCGGAUCUUCCCAACAAGUUCCUUGGCAAUAUAGUUACCAGCCUCACGCGCCGCCUCCACCGCAACAGCCUUAUAUGUUCUCGUUAAACAACAUGAAUCCCGUCGUUGGGUAUAGUAACAUGAACAACCCUAAUACGAUGGUUCCUGGUGGUUUUGGAACCGCGGGCGGUGGAGGAGGAGGUUCUGCUCCGUCGUAUAAGGAAGCCACGAAUAGUAAUACGUCGUCUUCGAGACUGCAAUGAGAAAACGAUUGGAUUUUUUUGAAAUAUUUUUUUCUCUUUUUUCGCAUAAAGGCAGAAAUGUUAGGUACUGACUUUCUUUUGUCAUAGAAUGACAACUUUGACUGUUGUAUAUUUAAGUUUUUCGUUUUCAUAUUCAAGCUUUUUAUCUUUGUUUUAGGCGUUGAGCAUUUGUUUACAGCGUUAUCACUUAUCAUGGUCCUAAAUAAGCAAAUAUUCAAUGACUGAAGUUGCACACUUGCUUGCAUUCAAAAGGAAAACUCCAGUUUGGCAGUAAGCAAAAUAAAAUAACGUUUCCAAAUAAAUCUAUAUGUUUUUACGAGAAUACAUUAUCAGUUAUAUAAAUUAUUAUGGCAUCCAUAUUUUCUACUAGACUUAGGUAAACUAAAACAAUGUUCUCGAACACUAAUAUAUCACGUAUAUAUAUUAUACAUAUUAACGCUCUAUAUAUGUUAAAAACAUACUUUCACGUAAAGUUCUGAACUACAUCUGAAAAAUUGAAAUUUCUUCAAUAUUAUUCAAAUUAAUAGUAUAUAUGUAUAACGUGCAUGUAAUGGAGGAAAUGUGAGAGAAAUAGCUUACAUCCAAUUUCUGUAUUCAUUUAUUGUAGGCAUUCAAACAUGAAAUUAGUUAGUGUGAAUGUAGUUUUAUCUGCUUUGCCAAAUAAGCUCGAUAAAAUGCAAAAUAUGACUUGUAGACGGAAAACGAUGACUAUCCUUUUCCAGUUCACAAUUUGAUUUACUUUUUUCUUUGUCUUCAAUCACUAACUUUAUAAGAUUAUUGAAAUAUAUUUGAAGGAGAAUUUUCGUCAAGACCAGAAUAAUCUUUUAACAUUAAAAUAUGGUGAUAAGACCAUUAAUUGGAUCAUAUAGAAAUUAAACUUGCUUUUCGUUGGAAACAGAGGAAGCUUUUGGGUGAAGGUAGGCUACCAACAUGAACAUACCUAGAUUCUUACGUUACUCCCUCUGUUCCAUAUUGUAACUAGUUUUAUUUAAAAUCACCAAUAUUAAGAAAUUAUCGCUUUUGUAAAAAAAUAUUAUUUAAUUUUAAAUUCAACCUAUUAUAAAAAAGCUAGCAUUAUUUGAUUGGUUACACAAUAUUCAAUAAAGAAAAAUGUGCAUUGAAAUAUGAAAACUACUUAUAUUGUGAAACAAACAUUUUUUGCUAAAACUACUUACAAUAUAAAACGGAGGGAGUAUCGUUUAUUUUUCCUCUUUUAAUUUCUUCUCAUUCAUAUUAAUUAUGAUUUAGACUGAAAGUGAGAUGGAUCUUUUGAUUUAGAUCGAUGUUAAUAUAGAGUUUGGCCGGUAUACCAAAGCCAAACUCUAUACUUAUAGAAUGUCUUUAGUUUUUUUUCUUACUCUUUUGCAUUUUAAUAGAUUUUAGAUUCUUAAGAUAAAUCCAUAAAUUAAUAAGAGAAUAUUUCUAUCAUGUUGUAGACGUGUUUAUAUUUGACAAAUAAAAUAAUAUAAAAGGAAUUAACAAUGAAGAAUCUUAUUUUAAAAAAAAGUAACAUCGACGAAGUGACAAAAAAAAAAAGAGGGAUAAAGGGGUUAGGAAGAGGGGAUGUAUCUAAUACGCAUUGUGGGUCCCUUAACCUCAAGUGAAAAUUCCUUUUCUUAACUCAAUUUGAAUUCAUUCACCAAUUACUAUACAGUCUAUACUAUACAAUUAUACAAAACAUCUUAUUACGACUCUCAAUCUUAUACUUUGGUAGAUUUUGAUGUUAUUUAUGAUUAAAUUAGGCCUCUUCUUUCAUACAUACUUAAAUAAAUGCGAUAAUCAAUUCUUUCGAACAACUAGACUAUGAUUUUAAAACACAAGAGGGAAGCAUUGAAUUGGAACAAACUAUCUACUAUUCUUUCACCUAAGAGUUUUUUGUAGUAAUAUAGUUUAGAAAUGUAUUUAUUUGUAUAUAAAUAUAUAAACAUAUAUAUAUAAAUAUCUUAUGAGUUUAUUGAGUGGUAGACUAGUGGUUGAGUUGUAGUUUUUCUAGAUGGUCAUGUAAAUUUCAAACUCCAUCCAUAUGGUAAUUAAUGUAAUGACAUAUACAAAGUAAAAACCAAAAUAAAAACUCACUCACCAGAGCAGUUUGUUUUUUGAAGUCGCACAUUGUUGGAGGAAGCUUGAAUAGUGAUAGAUAAGACAACUCAACUAGAUUUCCAUAUUUCUCGUCUAGCAGAAACUACGCGAGAUCCAUUUGAACAACCUCAUUCGUACAUAAAUAAACACUCAUUUUAUUCAAAAAUUCAGAUAUAUGGUUUAAGUUUAACCAGUGUUUUAUUUUUUAUAAUCACCUUCUGGUAACUAUUUUAUUAAAAGGAAAAUUCCAUAACAAUACCCAACUAAAUUUUGUUAAUUUUUUUUAUAUCCAAACUUUUAUACUACAUAGUUUAAUACUUCAACUAAUUAUUUUGCUCAUUUUAAUACGUUUGCUUUUAAAACUAUGUUCAUUUUAAUACACAAACUAUGCUAAUUUUAAUAAUAAGUUUUAAACAAAACAUAAAAAUCUUUAAAUUUCAAAAACAAAAUUUAUUACCUGUUUUCUUUUUUAAAUAACAUAUGUUUGGAUAAUCUUAAUUUAUAACAUUAAUUUUAGUUCUAAUUUCAAAUUUAGUUUAUUUUCUGAACUUUAAAAUAAUAUAUGUAUUUUAUUCAUGAUUAAGGUUUUCUAAAUUUUAAAAUACUAUCUAAUUUCUAGUUAGUUUUAUUCUUAAAAAUUAAAAUAAAGGUUUUUAAAAUUUUAUUUAAAACUGAUUAAUAAUCUUUGAUUAAAAUUAAUAUAGUUUGGGUAUUAAAAUAACACAUUUUUAAAAGUAAAUAUAUUAAAAUGAGCAAAAUAAUUACUUGAAGUAUUAAACGGGUAUCAAACUGUUUUGGGUAUUUAACUAAGAUGAGUAGACUUUACAACAUUUUAUUUUAUUUUUUGUUAUGAAAGUAUCAUUGAUUGAUUAGAUAGACUAGAAACCGUCUGCAAUAAAUAAGAAUUCAACUUUUGUGAAGUACCAUUGUCAAUUUGUGAAGUUGAUCACAAACAGAUUAUGAAUCAUCUGCAAUAAGAAAUAAGGAUUCAACUUCGAAAAUUGUCUCAAUUUGUGAAGUUGAAUCUUUAUUUAUUCUUUCAGAUGGUUCAUAGUCUAUUUGUGAUCAAUAAGUCAGUUUAUGCUUUGCAUAAACAACUCAAAUCUAGAGUAUUUCUUUCGGUUUUUGUAUCUACAACAGCGGGUGAUGACGAUGACGAUGUCGAUGGAAAUCAAGAUGGGGAUGAGAUUCUUCCUAUUGAUGGGAGGAAGAAUAGUGGAAGAAAAUUUACUGAUGAUGUCAAGACAAACAGUUGAUCAAAGCCAAAGUUGUUAGCUGGGAUGUCUGGAGACAAAUGGAAGGUUGAUUGAUAUUGUAACCCGUAUGUUAUCAUCUCUCGGGGGAUCGGUUGCUCAUGCUUAUCAGUAUGACCAUAUCAUUCCCCGGUGAAAGUUGAUUACAACUUUUAAAAACACACUAAAUUUAUGAUGAAAAAAGCAAAAUUAACCAAUUAAAUCAUUUAUAAAUGUUUAAAAAAAUAUUUAUAUAAGCUUAUAAACUAACUCCACCUCUUAAAUACUGAAACCUAAACAAUAAUCAUAAAUCUUGAAUCCAGAUUGAGCAUAUUUUUUCUUUUUUUGAGCAAAGAUUGAGCAUGUAUAUUUUUAAAAUAGUAGCCAACUUAGAAUAUUUUAAGAAAUUUUGCUUAAAAGUAUUAUAUUGGUGUAAAUAUAAAGACUAUCUAAUUAUAUAUGUAAUUAUACUGCUGAUUUUAUUUUAUAUAUUUAAAUUAGGAACUAAAUGGAGUAAAAUGGAGGGUUGAUCGCUAUGGUAACCCCGUAUGUUAUCAUUUCUCACGGGGAUCAGACGCUAAUGUUUAUUAGUAUGACCAUAUCGUUCUUUGGUCAAAAUCACAUGAUUCAAGCUUGGAGAAUUGUCAGGUACUCCAAUCUAUGGUGAAUACUUGGAAUGAUGCUUUAUUACAGCUAUAAAUUUGGUUUGUUAAGCUUUUAAACUCACCUUCUCUAUUUUGGAAAAUAAAUGGUCUAUUUGAAUUUUAGGGUCUGUUGUAGCGAUGAUUCACAAACUCUCAACAAUGGGAUCAUCACAAGAUAAUCAAGAACAGGUAGAGUCGUCUAAAGUAGAUAAUCUUCUUCUUGCAUAGCUUACGUAAUUCAUCAAAGUUAGCUUCUUUUUUGUUUGUUUGUCAAACGAAUUGUCUUGUAACCUCUUGUUAUUUGUGUCUUUGUCUAGUAGAAACGUUUCUUACUUUGUGAUUACAAAUUAAACUCGAGAGUUUAGAUUUUUUGGUCUCUCGUUUGCCUUUAUUUUGAAGAAGUGUGAAGCUUAUGAUGGUCCACAAAACUAGUCAAAGAACACAAGCUACUAAUUGGGGUUUCAUGUGGGACAAACCCAAGUUGAAACCCUCCAAAACUUUUGUACUAUUUUAACAUCUCUGUUAUUUUUUUUUACUUCUUUUUUGGUUAAAAUUGAGACUUUAGGCAUAUAAUAAGAAAACUUUCAGCAGAGUAUCUCAACUUAAAAUAAAUAAAAAUAUAUUAUUGUUCGAUUAUGAAUAUCUCAAAACGAGAAAAACCUCAAUCCAAAAUAUCACAAAACGGUGAAAAAUUCAGUCCAAAAUAUCUCAAAUAAUAUAUUUUGACUAAUUUCUCACCACUCUAAAAUAUCUAAUGAUAUUAGAUCAUUAUUUUAUUUACUUUUUAGAACUACUAAUUUAUUAGAAAAAUGUUGCUCUAGAUCCAUUUCCAUUUUAAUUUUUAUCAUGAAAACUCAAACAUUAAAAUAACUAAAAUAAGAACUUGCUAGAUACUCACAAGAUACUAUGAAAAAUAUUUUGCAUUACAUUUUUGGUCAAUUUUUCAAAAACAAUAUUGAAAUUCAAUAGUUUUAUAAAAGUAAACUUAAAAUAACUGAAAUAAAAACUUGCUAGAUACUCACAAAAUACUACGAAAAUAUUUGGCAUUAUAUUAUUAGUCAAUUUUUUAGAAGUAUCUUGAAAUUUAAUAGUCUUAUAGUAAAAACUAUUUAAAUUAAUAAUAUUGGAAUUACGAAAUUUUAUUAUUUUUUAGAGUUAUUAAUUUACAAAAAAAAUUAUUUUUAUAUUUUAAAAUAUAUUUUUAAUAAAAUAAGAUAAAUAGUUUAUUUUGUCGUGUAUAUGUUAAUUAAAUUAUUAAAAGGGCAAUUCUCUUAAAUAGAUUUUUUUAAGUUUUUGCCACAAAAAUAGACCUCAAAAACUAAAAUGACCAAAAUAGCACUUUUUUAUUUUGAAAAUUUAACUUUUUAUUUAUUUUUAAACCCUAAACCCCACCCCCUUAAUUCUAAACUCUAAUGUCUAGAUUAAUUAACCCUAGGGGUAUAAGUGUAUAUUUACUUCUUUUGAUAAAACAUUUAAGUCUAUUUUGGUCAUUUUUAUUUUUGAGGUCUAUAUUUGUGACAAAAAAAAAUUUAGGUCUAUCCUAGGGAAUUUCUCUUAUUAAAAUUAGACUUUUAUUAUUUUUGUUAUUCUAUUUGGUGUAUACAAAAUAUGUUUCAUAGAAUUUAAAUGUAGUUUUAGAUAUAAUUUGGGUUUUCUACAAAAAAACCCUCAAUGUGGUUUUUUUUUGCAAAUUAAUCCGCGAACUCAAAAACCCACGGGUCAACCCUCCAAGUGCCAGUCAAACCGCAAUAUAACCCUCGGCCAUAUUUAUGUGUAUUUGACUGUGUAUAAUUUUAACAUUUUUUCAAUACUAGGUCAUUUUGGCGCUAAUUUUUUAAUGAAAAAAAUUUGUUGAACCCCACCUUCAUUGUGCAUUUACGCAAGCUCCCAUGUCCGAGAAAAACUAGGUCAUUUCGUUUUAGAAAUCUAUAUAAUUGCGUUUGUUAAGUAAACAAAUAUAUUUGUUGGCCGAGAUGGUUAUAUAGCAUGCACAUGGUAUUUAAGGUUCAAAUUUCAAACCACGAGUUUAACAAAUUUUUUUCAUUAAAAAAUUAGCGCCAAAACGACCUAGUAUUGAAAAAAUGUUAAAAUUAUACACAGUUAAAUACACAUAAAUACGGCAGAGGGUUAUAUUGCGGUUUGACUGGCACUUGGAGGGUUGACCCGUGGGUUUUUGAGUUCGCGGAUUAAUUUGCAAAAAAAAACCACAUUGAGGGUUUUUUUGCAGAAAACCCAUAUAAUUUUACCUAAUAUUAUCAAAAUAUGUUGAUGUGUUAAGAAAAAUAAAGUUCAAUUUCAUUGUGAAUAUAAAAUAAAUAAUACAAUGAUUUGUUUGUACAUAUAUAAACAUUAUAUGUAUGAAUUAUUAAUUUAUGAUUUUAAUGGGAUUAUAUAUAUACAUAGAUUUUCUACAAAAAAACUAUUAUCUUAUUAUUUUAUCGAUUUGUGUCAUAUUUUGAACCGGCCAAAUUCGAGACCGAAGAAAUUUAUUAAUUUACCAUGUUUGUAAUUGAUCGAGUAUUAAUUUAUAGCGUUUCUACCGUAUAACUGAACUUAAAAUAAAAUUAAGAAACCCCAAAAGAAUAUCUUAAAGUGAAAACAAUCAUAAAACUAUAAUGUUUACAAGAGAAGAUGCGUAGUGAAGAUGAGAGAAAGGAAACUACAAUGGUUUUGUUUUAUUUAUUUAUAUACAUCAUUACAAGAGAUGAUCAGCUUGCAGUGGUACUUGUAUACAAAGAACAAAGUGUACAAAGCGAGGCAAAUAAUGGUUCUACAAUCUCACUUAAAUCGUCUUCCAAUGGCUUAGAACCUCCAUCUCCUGUCUGGCUGAAUAAUGUUUCUCUUCCAAUGAUGAACAAGGAGUGUUUAUGACCAUAGAGAAUUGCUGCAAUGUUACCAACAAAUGAGAGUUUUGGGCGCUUACCCACCUUGAAUCAUCUCACUUCUUAACACAUCUUCUCUCCUUAUUCUGUGAGAGCUAAAAGAGUUACUAGCAUUCUACAUCACUCCUCUAAUUCCAAACUUGGGGUAACCAUAGGGAAUGUUGUCAGAUGCGAAUCGCCUCUCAUAUCUUUAGCCAAACCCUCAAUGACAUCGUAUAUCUCAUCACUCUGAGGAUGCUCUUGAUCUCUAGACACAAAACAAUUUACAUUACCUGCAACUUCAAUCCCACUACGACCAACUUCUUUCCUUAAACCCUUUUCUCUCAUUCCUCUCCUCAACCUAUCAACACUCGUCCAUUUCUGUUCCUCAGCAUACAUAUUCGAGAGCAAAACCUGAUAUCCUGAAAAGUUCUUCCCUUUAUCCACUUUAGCUAACUUCUCUGAAACAGUUUCAGCAAGCUCAAUCUCACCAUGUACUCUACAAGCUCCCAGAACCGAACCCCAUAGCUCAGCAAUGUUUCCUUCUUCAUCAAGCCCUUUAACAAACUCGUAGGCUUCAUCAACGCGGCCUACUCUCCCUAACAUGUCUGUAACGCAGCAAUAGUGCUCAUUGGAAGGCUGGAUGUUAUAAACUUCACUCAUUUCCUCGAAUAUUUUGAGACCUUCAUCCACUAAACCGGAAUAGCUGCAAGCUGAUAAUACUGCAACAAAGGUGACAGUAUCUGGUUUGACUCCAGACUCUUCCAUUGAACGAAACAGCGAGAUAGCUCUCUCACCCAUUCCGUGUUGACCAUACCCCAAUAUCAUCGUGGUGUACGUCACAGAGUUUCUCUCUUUCGUUUGGUAAAACAUGUUUUCUGCGUACUGUAUCGCUCCUGACUUUGAGUACAUAUCAACUAACGCAGAAGCAACAAAUACGUUCUGAUCCAAGUACUGCCUUAUAGAGAAACCAUGUAGCUGUUUACCUAAGUCGAAACUACCUAUCUGGCUACACGCAGGGAGAAUCGACGCCACAGUUAUGGCAUUGGGUUUGAUAUUCUGUUCUAACAUCUUCCUGAACACAGCAAACGUUUCCUCUGUGUGUCCGUUCUGCGUGUACCCGGACAUCAUAGAGUUCCAAGUAGCUUGAUCUCUUUCAGCAUAGCCACUUCUCUCGAAAAGCUUCUCUGAGAUCCUUAUUAGACCUGACUUAGCAUACAUGUCAAUAAGGUAACUGUUCAUCCCCUCGAACUGAAUCCCUUGCCUUAUAAGGAAACCAUGAGUCUGCUUCCCAAUCUCCUUGUUUCUAAGAUUCGACGCAGCCGAAAGCAAAGCAGUCACUGUUAUGUAAUCGAUCUUAAACCCCUGCUUCUGCAUCUCAUACACCAACAUCAAUCCUUCAUCAUCUAAGCCGUUUUGGACAGACGCAGAGAUCAUUGUGUUCCACGUCACAACAUCUCUCUCUCGCAUCGAAACAAAGACCGCAAAGGACUCGUGCACAGAGCCGCACCUCGAGUACAUCACCAUCAACGAGUUGAAUAUCACAACGGGAAGCUCCUGAAAGUUCUUGCUGACAAAACCAUGAAACUGUCUACCUAACUCCACUUGCUGCAGCGCUGAAACUGCACUCGCUGCCAAGAGGAACGUUACUUCGUCAGACACAAUCUCUUUCGAUCCUAUUGCAUCAAGAACAAGAUCUAUACUCUCAACCAGGUACUCGUUCUGAACAUAGACUCCUAUCAUUGUAUUCCACACCUCAAUGUUCCUCUCUACACAAGAAUCAAACACUCUCCGUGACGCUUCAAUAUCGCCAAGCUCUGCAUACAUAGAAAUAGCCGAGCUCACAACAAACAAGUCCUUCACAUACUCAUCUCCCAACUUAAGCAUCAAACCAUAAAAUACUUUAGCUCUCUUAACACUUCUCGAACUCGCCACCGCGGGGAAGACAUUCACAAAGCUAACCGGACUCGGUUUAAUCUCCAUCCUCAUCAUAAUCCCAAACUGCCUACACGCCUCUGCGUGUCUCUCCGUCUUCACAUACCAAGAAACCAACGUAUUCCACGCCACAACGUUCUUCCUACGCAUACUAUCAAAAACCUUACGCACCACAUCGUACUCGCUUCCAGGAGGAAGGUGGUUCAAGCAAGAAACGUACAUAUUCAACAGAGAGUUAUGAACAACCCUGCUCGAGUUCUGCAAGCACCGGAUCAAAUGGCAAUGCACGGCUUUACCAGCCUUCAGGUUCUUGGUCUCGGCGCAGGCCUUGAGCGUGGAGGAGUAAGUGUAAGGGUCGCAUUUGGUGAAAGGAGCGGUCUUUUUCAUCCGGGAGUAGAAAAGGAGAGCCUCGUGCGGGAGGUUGUUGCAGAUGAGGCCGAUGAUAAUGGUGUUCCAUAGGACGGUUGUUGGUUUGGGAAUUGCGUCGAACAGCUGGCGUGCGAGCUGUGGGUUUCCUUCUUGGCAGAUUCUGCUGAGGCGGGAGCGGAUUGAAGGUGUUUGGGGAGUUGGGUUUGUUGGUGGGGCGAAGGUGGAAGAGCGNNNNNNNNNNNNNNNNNNNNNNNNNNNNNNNNNNNNNNNNNNNNNNNNNNNNNNNNNNNNUGGUUUGGCGGGGGAGAGUGGAACGAAAGUGGCGGUGGGGGUGGGAGAGGUAGAGCUGAUCCGGCCAUUGUGGAAGAGAUGAUGAAGAACGAAAUGAAGUGACGUUAUUGACUCUCUCUUCCGCUUUAUGUUAUCAUCAUCAUCUUUCUUCAGUGAUAAGAGUUUGUUUAUUUUCUAUUUUUAUAAGAUAGAUUACCAUUUUUCAAAGUACACUAAAUUUGUGAUAAAAAAAAAAUAAUAAACCAACUAAACUAUUUAUUAAUGUUUUAAAAAAUAUUGGGUAAAUAAUCCAUAUUUUCCCACCAAAACUAUCAGGUAAGAAACUAUCAAUCUCGUCUUAAUUAUAUGUAUUUUAAAUUAUUCUACAUGUUAUUUCCCAGUUCAAAGUUUCAAACCAUAAAACCACAUAAUCUUUGUGGUUAAAAAAAAGAAAAAAAAAUCAUAGGCGAUUGAGAGGCAUGUUCUAACGAGGGUCAAGUUGGUUUUUAUUUGGUUAAUUGUUUUUGGUUCAAGUGUUUCGACUUUGGUUUAGGUUGUAAACGAAUUUUGGUUUAGGUUCUAACCAUUAAAUCAGUGAAAAGCCGGGUUUGUGUUUCAGUUUUUUGAAUUGGUGAGUAAUAGGUAAAAUAACUUAAAACUAGGAUAAGACCGCGGGCUAAAUUUAUGUGAAAAUUAUUUAAUAAAUAUCGUAUGAAAAAUAAAAUUUAUAUUAUUGAUCGAAUUAAUAUUUUUGGCUAUUAAAAAAUUUUUUAAAAACUUUUUUGUUAACUACAUAAUUUGUUUACUAAUAAACUGGUCCCAUUUUUAAAAAUAUUUUAGAUCAAAAAUUUAUUUAUCACUUAAAAACCUAAUGUUUAGGCCGAAAAAUCUCAUGUCUACUAUUUGGUUACAAUGAAACUAUGUCAGCUCGUUUUUAUAUCAUGAUUUAGCAAUUUAAAAUUUAAUAAUGGUUAUGAGAAGUUUACGUUCACGUAUCAAGCCUAUCUAUCUUUGAUAUUUUUUUCAUUUUUGUGUCAUUUUGGUUAUUUGCUCGAUAUAAAUAUUUAUUUUUAAGUAUAUUUUUAUUUUUUCUUUUAUUUUGGCAUGAGAUUUAGAAAAUGUUUAAGAUUCAAAAUUAUUAAAGAGAUAGAUACUUAAGUUAAGAUAUGCACCUUGUGCAAAAUAAAUAUUUUAUAUUUUUGUGCAUAUUAUAAAAUAAUAAAAUAAUAAUUAUAUAAUAAAUUGGUUUGCAUAUAUAAAUCAAAUGACCGCUCUUGUAUAUUCGCAAUCAUUUUAGAAUAAAUAAAUCAAAACAUUCAAUCUUAUCUAUCGUAUAUGAUAUAUAAUUAAAUUUAAACGAUAUGAAAUAUAUAUAUAUAUAUAUAUAUAUUAACAUUAACACCUAUUAAAAUAAAAUUAUUUGUUUAUAUGAUUUUAUUAUCAUUAUAUCUUAUUAUAAAAAAAACUAAACAUUGAUCACAAAAGUUUAUGUGAGACUUUUAAUAGUUUAGUAAUUUAUACUCGUUUUGAAAAAUUCAAAAUACAACAUAUACAAAAAAAUCUAAAUUUUUAAUAUAUGAUUAAUGUAAUUGUGUAAUUUAUUUUAAUAAUAAAGAAUUAAAAAAAAAUGAUAGAAAGUAUACAGAUUAUUAGCAAAUUUUCAUUAUUUAAAAUAAUUAAUUACUAUAUAUAUCAUAAUCACAUAAGGUACUUCCGUAAGUUUUAUUUAAGGAAAUAAUAUAUAAUACAUUUCAAUUUGAUAAAUGAAUGGUCCAUAAUGGACAUACUAUAUAAUAUAACAUUUUUUAGCAAUUUAAUUUUGGACUAACAAAAUUCUCAAUUGAUUUUCAAGUCGCCACGUAAACAAAUUAACAUUCCAGUUACGUGACAACCUAGCACGGCAUUUUUUUAAUUAGUAACUACAGGUUAUAAACUUUUUAAAUGUUUUCCUAUUAAUAUAUAGGGGAUGUUAAACCAUUGAUCAUUAAUUUUUACAUAAUAAUUUUAAUAGUUUUAGUAAUUUUGUCGUUUUUAAAAAUUCAAAAUAUAACAUAUACGAAAAAUCUAUAUUUUAAUUUUAUAGCUAAUUUGAUUGUUUAAUUUAUUUUAAUAAUAUAAAAUUAAACAAAAAUAAUGGAUGAGAUAUAAAUUGUUAUCAAAUCUUUAUUAUUAGAAUCAUUAAUUGUCAUAUAUAUAUUAGUCAUAUUUGGUAAUUCCGUAGCUUUUAUUUAAGGAAAGAAAAUAAAAUAGUAAUUGUACACUUUAAUUAAUUUUAUGAUUAGUUAAAUGAAAAGUAUAAUAUAUACUUAAUUGGACCAACAUAUUUUCUAAGGAUUCUGAAUUUCAUUCUGGUGAUGACACGUGACUACACUUAAAGGUUGUAAUGUUUCUCAAUUAAUAUAUAAGGGAUAUGUGAAAUUAAGAUGAAGUUAAAAGUUUGUGUAUAAUUGUUAUUAUAUGAUAUUUUGUGGGGGAAUUAUGUCCUUUACUCAAAAACAUUUAUAUAACUUUAUAAAUUCAACCCCAUUUCCUAAUCUUAAAACCUAAACAAUAAUCAAUAAUCUAAACCCAAAUGUUAAUGUAGUUUUGAUUGAGCAUAUCUUUUUAAAAAUAGCAGCCAAUUUAGAAUAUUUCAAACUAGUUUUCUUAAUAAUAUUCUACUGAUGUAAAUUUAAAGAUUAUCUAUUAUAUAUAUGAUUAAAUAUUGGUUCCAUUUUAUAUAUUAAUUCAAAAUUAAGAAUUAAAUUUAUAGUAUAAUAGAAACUUGGGUUUUAUUGGUUUUAUUAAUAAUACUAAGGUUCAUAAUCAGAGAUAAUGAAGAACAAAAUUCAAGUUCGAGAUUAGAGUGAGAGAUGAAGAAGAAAAUAAAAAUAGAAAUUUGUUAUUCCUCAUAAUGAACAUGUACAUGUAUGUUCAGUACAAUUGUACGGUUAAGCAAAAGAAAACCUAACUAAUAUAAACCGGUUAGUUAACCCUCCCCUCAAGUCUUUAUCUGUGGAGCUUGCAAAAGGUAAAGACUUGACAAGAACAAACGAGAGAAGAAUGAAUGGUAAGGACCUGGGUAAAGAGGUUUGGUGAGAAUGUCUGCAAGCUGGUUUCCAGUGGUGACAUGAAAAGUCUUGAUCUUGUCUGUCUUCAGCUGAUCAUGAACGGUAUGACAAUCGAUCUCUAGGUGCUUCAUACAUUCGUGAAAAAAGGAUUCAUGGCAAUAUGAAGCGCUGACUUAUUAUCACAAUACAACUUAGCAACACGGGUGACAGAGACAUGCAUAUCACGAAGCAAUUGUUGCAGCCAAAUCAACUCACAUGUAGCUAAAGCAAGACUUUGAUAUUCAGCCUCUGUAUUGCUUCUACUAACCACAACCAGUUUCUUGGACUUCCAAGAGAUCAAAGAAGAACCAAAAUAAACACAAAAGCCUGUAAUAGAACGGCGAGUCUCUUUGCAAGUAUCCCAAUUUGCAUCAGCAAAAGCAUUCAAGCAUAACUAUGAAGUAGCUAAGUACAUCAAUCCUUGACCAUGAUUAUUCUUGAGAUAUCGCAAGACCUUAUGAGCAGCCUGCAAAUGUGUAUCAGUAGGGACUGAUGAUUAAUGCAUUUUAUCACAUGUCAAUUAACCUAAUAUGCGCUCUACCACAAUCAAAUGGUAUAACGAUGCAUCACUUUAGGAUUGAAUCCACAAGGAACUAGUGAUCUAUAACACUAAGAAUACACAAGCUUUCAUAAUCUAAGAAAACAAGAAGAUGGAUGAUUGGUAACAAAUUAAGAUCCUGGAAAUAUAAACAAGGUGAUCUCAAAUUCAUUUAAGAAAUAAGUGCAAAAACUAAACUUUCAAUCAAAUGAUAAGGUAGAAUCCAUGGGAUUAAGACAAUUUAUCCAAGGCAAUUAGUUUCCAAGUCAAAGUGAUACGUUUAAGCAAUCAAAAGUCUAUAUAGGUCUAGAUCUCAUUCAGAUAGAUUAAUUCACUGUCGUGACAAUAAUCCAUAUGCAAUCAUGAGCUAAAUAUCAACUCCCGUUGGCCUAAUUCAUUAUGUUCAAGUAUACUAACCAUCUAGCAAUCCUAACAUCAAAUGUCUUUGGUUAUUCAAGCUAAAACAAUACUAAGUUCAUUUAAGCAUUUUAACAAACACCUUCCGGACUUAAAAUUGCAUAAGGUAUAGAUAAGAUUGAUCAAGUCUAAUCUAGCAUUAAAAACAUUUAGCAAGCAUAAAAACUAGUAGAUCUAACAAUAACCACCUUAACUCUUCACUAAUCACCCUAGAUCUACUUAACCCAUGGAUUCAAAAAGUGUCUACUCAAUAAUCUCCAUGAAAAAUCUUAAAUCUAUAUGAGAUUCAAGGUUAAUCAUCUUAGUGAUCAAGAGAAACACAAAUAUAAGAUGAAGUACUUUCUUAAAUGAUCAAAAGGUUCAAGUUUUUACAAAAUGAGGCAAAGUCUUGAGAGAAAACGAGAGAAAAUAGGAUUUUUAAGUCGAAAUCUAUUUAUAGAUGUCUUAAAACGAGCUGGAUCCACAAUAAAUCUGGGUUAACCCAAUAAAAAGUGGUGUUUUCGUCUGUAGAGACAUGGUCAUCCCACUAUAACUAGGUCACUACAGCACUUAGUUGUGUGGGGCUUCUUGGGGAACCAUAGCAACAUGCUCUGAUCGCUACAGUGGUCGCUACAUACACUCGAGUUCCUCCGUAGCGACAUGCUAUGGUCGCUACAGCUAUGGUCGCUACAUGGUUGAUAUGCCUCCAGUAGAUAGAUCAUAACUCCUCAAUACAGCUCCAAAUGAUUUGAAACCACCGGAAUUGGAAAGCUGACUCAAUUGCCUAUGUCGGCCCAAAAUUCGAGCUUCAGAAGAGAUCUUUAAAGCCGUCAUCCAUGUUCAUCUUUUACCCUUUUGACUCAAAACUCCUCAAAUGCCUUCAAACUCACCAAUAAGUAUCUCCAAAACCUGAUAUAGACACAUGCAAUGCAAUGCAAUGAAAUAUAAAUAUGUAUAAAUGAAUCUCUACAUGAUCAUUAUAUACAUUAAAUGAUAGUUUAAAAUCAUGCAAAUUCAUAGGAUAUCAACCCUCCCACAUUUAUCAUUUAGUUGUCCCCAAGUAAACUUUCAAGAACAAAGUGAGAAAGAGUUGUGAAGGUGGAAGCUCAUUACCAAAAGAUAUUUUUCAAAGACAUCAACGUGAUAUACUUACAAAAUCAUACCAAAUAUCAAGAGCAAAACAUCCUAUCAAACUCUAACUUCUCUAGGCCUAUCUCAACUCCUUGAUCUCUUACGCUCAUUCUCAAGACUCCACAAACAAACCAAUCAACCAACCCUCACAUUCAUUAAACAAUAAUCAUAAGUGCACUCUUGCGAAUGGACAAUUGGUCCUAAUCAUUUGGCUUGGUGAAAAAAGGUUUGUAGUUAUAGUGAAGUAAGAGGGUUAUCAAGUGCUUUUCAUGGUGGUUUACUCUCAAGAACAAGUAGCUUGACAUUAUGCAUAAUAUAUCUAAGAAAGAGAACAACUCAUGCAUACAAUGCUCAAAACUCUUGCAUACAAUGCUCAAGAAUCCUCAUUGUUCUACCCAUUUCCUAGACACAAGCAAUUUUUUAAUCUUUGUUUCCCAAUGUCAAACUCCCAUUCACUCACCAAAAUGCUACAAGAACACUCAAGAUCACUCUCACUUUUUGAACUCUUUAUUAAUUUUUUCCCACUAGAGAUUUUUUUUUCACUCGUUCCUUAGCUUAAGCUCUUUUCUUUUUUCUUUACCCCACUCUUAAAAACAAAAAAAUUCUCAGCGGUUUUUAUUUCUUUAGACACUUUUGAGCUAAACUUUCUUUUUCUUUGAUCUCUUUUUUUUUAGACUUUUGAGUUCACUCUUUUCACUCAUCUUUUUUUUUUCAACCCUCAAAGAUCAAACACUCAAUACUCCCUUCCUAUCCUAUGAGCUAGACAUCAUGAGAUCCUAAAGCUAGCAAGUAAUGAGGACCAACCAUUAUCGUUACCAAUACUCUCAACAUUAUGCACAUCUCAAACUUUCAGAAAAGACCUCACUCAUCAAUUUAAUAAUGUCUUGAAAGGAAGGUAGGGUUAAGGGUGUGGAGAACCAUCUAAAGGAGAGAUGGCGACUUGAGUUGCCAAAGAUUGGUGAAAAGGAUAAGACUAACUCAAGUGUGUGUGAGGUAACCAUGAUCAAGCACAAGAAGAGCCCAUAAGCUAGAUAUAUUAGGUUCAUUAACUCAAAUAAGAUUGGAGUUGGUUUCAAGAACAAGCAAGUUUCGUCAAUCAAACAAGUUUCAAGAGGAGUUUUCAAGGCUCGAGGUAUACAAGUUAUCUAGAAGAUGUUCAAGCUACUUAUUAUGACUGAGAAGGAUAACACAUUAACUUCUUUGCAUGAGUUCUUUACAAAGUUUUCUCCCAAUGCAUGAAAGCAAUCUAUAUGUUUCUAGACUUAUCCUGAAGAUUAAAAUGAUGCAACUAAAUGCUUCUUUUUGUUGUUUUCAAUAAUUUUCAAUUCUGUGGGUUUUCUAUGGAAAUAAGUAUGCAAAAUAUAAUGUAUGAGACUCAAGAUGACAAGAAAACAAAAUAGAACACAAGGUGAGAUGGUAGACUCUCCCCCAAACUUACUUCACACAGUCCCUUGUGUGAAAGUAAACUUGAAGGAGAGAUCAAAGAGAAAGAAAAUGAAAGUAUUUACAAAUUUAGGGUGCACUUACUUGGAGUUAUAGGUUUAAUUGGGUGGUAAAGGACCCUUGGCCUCGGAUUUGUUCCACCAGGAGAGACGUGCUGAAGCGGAGAAGUGAAGGCGGAAUGUGUCCAAGCUCUUUACCCAUGUAGUGAAGACUUUCUUGCCAAACCGGAUCACCGGGAUCAUACUCAUCAUAAAACCAAACUAUAAACUCAUUCAUCCUAAUCUAAGGUACCUUCCUUAGAUCAUCAACUUCUUUGGUAGAGAGUAUACCAAAAUGGUAGUCAAAGGGUUUGUCCAUAGGAGAGUCUUCUUCUUGCACCUCUUUGGGAGAUUAUUCAAUGUUGAAUCACUUGAUUUUCUUUAGACUCUUCACCCCUUGAUCCUUUCUUGGAAUUAAGCCUCACAUGCAUUUCGUCCUUGGUUGAUAACUCAUCCAUAACCAAUGAGAUCUAUCUUUUCUCCUCCAUGCAUUUAACAACCACACCAUCAUCACAAAUAUCUUCAAAGACUCUUCCAACCAAGCGUACUUCUUCAUUCUUGCUCCUUGUUGAAUAACCCAUGAAUGCGAUUGGUUCAACUUGCUCUUCAUAUAUUAUCACAAGAUUUUAAUUUACCAUGAAUCCAUAGAGUCUUAAGCUUCUUGUUGAAAUCCAUCCUUGAUUUGAACAUCCUCUUCAAUAUUAAUUUCCAUAUCCAUGGUAUGUUCUUCAUAAGUAUUGGUGUUGUAAAAGGGGGUGUUGCUUUCUUCUUGAUCUUCACUAAUGUGAGAGAGUUGUUGUUGAUUGAUUUCACAUGUCUUAUAACUCCAUCCAACCUUGAGCUUAGAACCUUGCCAUUAACAUCAAUCUUGGUGGAAAGAGAAUCAAGUUGUCUUUCUAUCUAAAUCCUUCCCUUUUUUUGAUUCUCUAACAACUUCACAGGCAUGUUGGUGAUGUUUUCUUCACUUGAAUCUUGAGGAAAUUUAGCUGCUUGUUCUUCAUAGUCUAUAUCCCAAGGUUGAUAUCCCUCACCAUAUCCAUAUUGUCUUCUUUGACCAAAGUCUCCAUGUGGUUGAUACUCCAAUGAGGUGGAUGGUUCAUAAGCUCUUUCACAACAUGUUGAGCUUCUAGAUAUCAUCCUUUCUUGACUCUCCAAAAUAGCCUUUAUCAUUGAUUCUAAGUCAAGAGACAUGAUCUUCCUCUCUUGUGAAUGUACUUUGCAAAAGAACAAUCACUUGAAAGGGAAUUAGUCAUCAAACAAAGCAAAAGAAAACAUAAGAAAAUAAAGCUUAGACGAAUUUGAAAGGGGUUUGAAGGGGGUUUCAGAUGUACAAGAGAUAAAAAAACUCAAACAGCUGAUGUUCAUUCUGAAAACAUGAUCAGGCUUGGACAGUCCCUACGAAUGCUAAAGGCUAAUGUGUCAAAACUCAAGGUUCCAUUGAGAAAAAAAGAGCAAAGAAGUUUCAGCUGCUAUCUCACCUACCAGGUUUGAUAUUCUUGCAAACAUCUGAGCGAUGAAAUAAGCAAGAGGGAGGUGAAAUAAAAGCAGUCUCUGAGGAUGAUAGUUCAGAUGAGGAAGAAUUACCUCCUCAAAAAAUUGUAACCAACAAAAAGAAGCUUAAGUCAAAUCAUAAAGAAAAGAACAAAGGUCAAAAGCAAGCCGCUGCUCCAAAGAAAGCUCAACCUACUUUGCCUCACACUACUACAAAGAAAACCAGAGGAUAUAAUGAUCAUGACGACCCUUUUUGCGUAGGACACUCGCGGUUUCAACAAAAAGUGCAAACAUAAUGCAGUUCGAUCUUGGAUUAGAGGUAAUAAUCAUCUUCUUGGUUGUCUUCUUGUAACUCGUGUUAAAGAAGAUUUUGCUGAUUCUAUCAUUGAAUAUAUGUUUUGUGGAUGGAACUAUGAAACAAUUUAUGAGUACCAUCGGUUAGGAAGAAUAUGGUUACGUUGGUCUCCUUUGGUAUUGUUACAGUUUUGUACAAAAGUCUUCAGCUUAUGACGGUUCUUCUCUCCUUACAUCCAAGUGAAGAGUUCAUGAUUUCGUGCAUAUAUGCUUCUAAUUUUCAGAGGGACAUAACUUAGUUUCGGGAGGAAUUGCGAUCAAUGAAAGGUUUCUUUAGCACUAGCUCUGGUCCUUGGAUUGUAAUGGAUGAUUUCAAAGAGAUUUUGGCUUCAGAAGAUCAUUCUCAUGGAAUGGUUUCAAACAUUAAUCUCUGACUGUGAGCUCAUCGAUAUGGCUUUCAAAGGGCCCAAGUUCACUUGAUGGAAUCAUCAAGAUGAGGUUCCAAUAUGUAAAAUAAUUAAUUGUGUCCUGAUAAACGCUAAUUGGAGGGAUGUGGUUUUAUAAGCCUUAUUUUUACAAACAAGAUGAAGCAUGGAACUUGGUGCACAAAGGAAAAAUUUAUGGCUGAACAAGUUUAUCUUCAUAGUAACAAGAUUUAAGGUCGAUUCCUCAAUCCGAUGAAUUUGAUUAUUGAUGGUUUGUGUGUUCAAGUUUUUUUUAUUUAUAAAUUUGGUGAUAUAAUUCCAGCUGAAUUAUUGCCUCCUUUAUGUGAUAUUCAACACCAAGCUGAUCUUGUUCCUGGUGAGACAAUAGUCAUUCCUUAAUGAGCCUAUAAAACCGUGAAGAAUUACCGAUGUCAAUUGCCUCUGAUUGUGAUAAUCGGUCAAUUUGGAAACUACUUGGUACAAAUUUGGUUGUGAAUAUUUGCGUAAAAUUCUCCAUCCGUUGGACAAACAUAAGUGAUGAAUCAAUCAUUAGGAAAUUCUUUAUGCGGUUUGGUCAAUAGAACCUGAAGACUGUGGACUUCCAAUUGUGCAUUGUGAAUUACACAUAACCAUGCCUUCAACAGAAGUCUUGAAUUUUCACCUUUUUCAGGUUGUGUAUGGGGUUCAUUUAAGAUGUUCCCCUGAUAUUCGUGUUCAUGUUCAAGCAGAAGAUUUUGUGUUCAGCAUGCCAGUCAUACAUCAAACUUCACAAAAAUAAAUGAUAACAGUCGUCUAUAUUUUUUCUCUGUAAUAGAGUAACUCUAUUAUGGAAGCAGAUAAUUAGAUCAAAUUCAUCUCUAUAAUAUAGUUAUUCUACUUUAAAGUAAAAAAAAAAUAUAUAUAUAUAUAUUAAAAAAAUAAUGCAAAAACAUAUAGGGAAAAACAUAUAGAGAAUGUUCCAAGUAAGAGUUUAGCUGAGUUGAUGUAAAAAAAAGAGACUAUGAAUGUUUAAACACAGCCACAUAUUGUAUGUAUAUUAUUUAUAACCUCUACAGAUUGUGAACCUCGUAUAUAUCUUAGGAAAACAAUCAACUUCUUCAUUUUGACGUGAAAGUAUAGCAGUUAAUAAAAUUCGAAGUACUAUUCAUUUAUACGAGAGUUAAAACCUCAAUAGUCAAUAAGAUAUCAUUCAUAACAUCCAAAACUAAAACCACCACUAGUAACAUUCUAUCUUAACGAAAUAGUCUUAAAUCGCUAAGUGACAUAUCAUAAAUUCAUAAUUCUUUUGUUUCAGUUAAACACCAAUACCGCUAGUUAAUAUUUUAGGAGUGUAAAGAAAAUAUCAAAACGAUGAUUCAUUGUUUUUGCUAUUUUCUGCUGGUGAUUGGCCGAUGUUAGGAAAAUGUCAAAACGAUAAUCGUUUUCCGAUUUUAUUCUCUUUUCUGCUUUCGACGGACUAACGUGUAGAAAAUAUCAAAAUCGAUAUCGUUUUUAUUGACCUUGGUCUUUUCUACUGGUGGACCAAGAACAUGUCUUCACGAGUAGUACUCAAGUACUCAGACGACCACAAAUUUUCUGUUAUAUUUGGUUUUUGAAUUAUGUUUAGGCUAUGGGAGGAAAUUCGCAAUGAAACAAAUGUAGAGUAACAUGCAUGCAUGAGGUCCAUUUUUUGGCUCAAAAAUAAGAUCAGUUUAUAACCAUAGCAUUAUCCAUUUCUAAGUGUGAUGACUUCUUGGGUGCACUAUUCGUAGAUAUGCUUUAAAUCUUAUAACUUGAAUAUUCGAUACAGUAAAUAAUCAAAAGAUUAGUUUAGUCAAUUUUUAUUAGAUUCACAUUUGCAAAUUUAUUAACUUUAAAAUUUUUGAAUAAGAAUAUUAUACACAUAUACAUAUAUGAUUGAUGAGACAUACACAUUGCAGAAAACAAGGUGGUAAUAUUCACAAUUUCUGGCAUGCAUUUAUUUCACCCCAUACUAUAUUGUUUCUAUCCGGAAUCUGGAGUAACAACUAUCAGUCAAAUUAAAUUAAUUCAGUGAUAUCCAUUUAUGUAGCUUCAAGUUCUAAAAAUUAAAAUCAAUUAAACUGAUUUUAACAAUGACUUGUUCAACUGUUCAUACAUAAAAUGGAAAAAUUCGGUAAAAUUAAUAUCUUGUCGAUAAUUUUUUUUGGGUAAAUGUUAAGUAUUAUACUUUAUUUCAAUUUUUUUUUCUUUGAAUAAUAUGUAAAAUUUAUUCAGAAAAAAUAAUGUUUACAAUGUAGACUACUUGAUUAUGAGAAAAACAUAAAAGCACUAUUUCAGCCUAUCUAGUAGAGAAUCAGAGAUGUAAGACCCCUUCAUGACGUCUAAUUAUCUUGGAUAUCAGAAUGAGACACUGUUUUUGAAUCUGCCUAUCGAUCAUCUUUAUCAGCUGACUUGCUAGUAGCGGCUGAGACCCAUGACGAUGACCAUUCCUCUCACGCAUAGAGAGUGCAGAGUCACUUGAAAGCUGUAUCGCAAGAGGUACAUCGUUAGGUGCGGAAGAGUAUUGUCUGCCAAGAUUACUCGGAUAUCCUGCCAUUUGUUCGUGAAACGGGAUAGAAGAAGACCCUGGACCAGAGCCGACCAGACUUCUUGAGAGUAGCUACAUUCAAAAAAGAGAUGAUCUCUUGUUUCCAGGUGUUGUUGACAUAGAACACAACUCACAUCAAUACCCACAUUCUAGGAUAUCAUUCUGUCGCCAGUUGUUAACAUGUUGUGCAUUGCUAGCCACACCGUGAACGAGUACUUCGGCAUCGAGUGAGAGAACCAGACGAUCGAGUGCCAGGUUACAGUGGGAGCAAAACGUCUAAGAAGAGACCAUGUGCUUCUCAUGUUGAAUUUUGGUUUGAAGCUGUCCGAAGUAGACUUCCAUACCGAAAUAUCUUCUCCUACACCUAUAUUUUCUCGCUUUUUAUGUAACUCAUCCUCAAUCAUAGGAUACAAAUCAUAGCGGUGCCGUCGUGGCCGUCAAGAGAUAACAGACGCAACACUUGCAUUUAACCGAAUUCCCAUAUCAAUACAUCCCCUAACGCCCGUAAGAUCGAUUAAACGACCCAUAUCUGACCAUGCAUUAUUCCAGAAUGAGGUGCCUUGGCCAUCUUUCAAUUCCAUUCGAUGAAAAUCUUUAGCAUUGUCUCUAUAUUUUAGAAGUUCCUUCCAUACCCACAACCCAUUGUUGUUGUACUCUUGACCGUCCAAAAUGUCCCUCCUUUAAGCAAAUAUGUUUUCACCCAUUGAGCCCAUAGAGAAUGGGAGGAAGUGAUCCUCCAUAUUAGCUUAAGGAAACAAGUGAUAUUAGCUUCCUUUAACGGCCUAAGUCCAAGCCCCCCCCNNNNNNNNNNNNNNNNNNNNNNNNNNNNNNNNNNNNNNNNNNNNNNNNNNNNNNNNNNNNNNCCCCCCCCCUUAUGAUUUCAACAUGGUAACUGUAUCCCAUGCCACCUUCGCUCGCUUCACAUUGAGUGUUGGACCAGACCAGAGGAAUGCACAACACAAGCUAUCAAUCUCUUUCAGACAUUCUCCAGGGAGACAGAAAGAGGACAUGCAUAAGUUGGCAAUACUCAUAAGCAUGGACUUAAUAAGCUGCAGUCGUCCAGCCCUAGAUAAGAAUCUGUACGUCCAUAGACUAAUUCUUUUCUUCAUUUUCUCAAUGAGUGGUUGGUAAUCAUUCUUCCCCAUUCGCUUUGUUAAGAGUGGCAGUCCUAGAUAUCGAACCGGUAAGACACCCACAUCCAUGCUAAAACGUUCCUGAAGUUCUUGCUUUGUGUUAUCAUCACUUCCCCCACAAAAGAUCGUUGAUUUUUUCACACUCAUCAUUUAGCCUGAGAUAGUUUCGAACUUCUUGAAAACCUCCAGGAUACUCUCAAUGGAAUGAGAAUUACCAUCUGAGAACAAUAGAAUAUCAUCUGCAAAGCUCAAGUGUGUAAGAUUCAGGUUCUUACACUUUGUGUGAUAGCCCAUCAUGUGCUCUGCUGCUGAUUUAUCCAACAUCUUCGAUAAAACAUUCAUACUGAUGACAAACAGAUAUGAUGAGAGUGCGCAACCCUGACGAAGCCCUCUUUCACUCUUGAAGAACCCAGCCAGCUCUCCAUUCACUUGGACCGAGAAAGAAGCCGUAGUGACACAAAAAGAUAUCCAAUGUAGGAAUUUCUCCGGGAAUCCCAGCGCUGUCAAGGUGUUGAAUAGAAAGGACCACUGAACCGAAUCAAAUGCUUUUGAAAUAUCCCUUUAUUGCACAUCGACGAGAGGCUGAGUCUUUGUGAUAAUCCUCAACCAGUUCCGUUGCUAGGAGCAGAUUUUCUAUCAGUAGCCGAUCUUUUACAAAAGCGGAUUUAUUCAGACUAAUAAAUUCUGGGAAGAGCUUCUUUAACCGGUUUGCGAUAAUCUUUGAGAUCACUUUGUAGAUAACAUUACAGCAAGAGAUGGGACAGUAGUCUUUCAUCUUCUUUGCUCAUGUGACCUUCGGUAUGAGAGCCGUAAUGGUUGUAGUAACCCCUUUUGGUAGAAAACCCUUCUCAAAAAAACUUUUAACCGCAGUAACAAACUCAGAACCAAUGAUUGGCCACGCUAAUUAGUAGAACUCUACAGUGUAACCAUCAGGACAAGGAGACUUGUCGCUCAGCAUAGCAAAUAAAACUUUUGUUACCUCCUCAGCCGUGACCCCUUUGACUAGAUUCUCUUUGUCCAACGGUAAGGUAAGAGGGACUGAAGCACGUCUACAUCAAUACCUGAAUAGUUUGAUGGCUGAAACUGAAGAAAUUCUCGAAAGUGCCUCUCAGCUUCGAUUUUUAUUUGUUCAGGAGUCCUCACCACCUCUCCAUCUAAGCACUCUAUCUCCUUGAUCAAGUUCACUAUUUCUCUUUCUGUUUCUCCUCGAUGGAAAGCCGUAUUGUUCUUAUCACCCACAUCCAACCAAUGCAUCUUUGAUUUUUGUUUGAGAAAUUUCUCUUCAAGUCGAUAAACAAAGUCCCAACGCUUAUAUACUUCACUUUCAGACUGAAUGUUUGUUGUGUUGGAUUUCUCAUUGUUUCAUCCUGCUGUGUGCAUAACUCUUCAAAAUAAGCCUUUAACUUAACUGAGAGGUUCCCCAACCUUGUCUUUUCCAACUCCCGUAUUAUAGGCUUCAAGUUCUUUAGCUUCUUUGAGAAUAUUAAUAGAGACGAAGUCGAUGAAAAUAUUGGUUCAGUAUUUUCCCAAUACUUUCCAACACUAAGUAGAAGAUCUUCCAACUCUGUGAUCGCAUUAACAAAUUUGAAUGGUCGUCUCAGGCGCAAAAGUUCCGAGUGAAGCUGAAUGCGCCAGCGUAGAUGAUCCGAACAUCCACCAGUCUCAAACAUAGCAUAUGAUUGCGGAUAGGCAGCGAGCCAGUGGUCAUUAAACAUGACACGAUCAAUCUUCUUCAAGAUAAGACCCUCCGUUAGUUUAUUACACCAUGUAUAGUGUGGCCCAUGCAAUCCUAAGUCCGUCAGGGAACAAUAUCUCACAACAUCACCAAACUUCCUCAUUCCUUGAGUCACCAUAGGAGAGACUUCAUGCCACAAAUGAUCCUCCAUAUUAAGAGUUUCAUUGAAAUCUCCUGCAAUUAGCCAAGGCAUAUUGUGAAUGAUCAGGGAAUCUUGAUGAAGCUUUAAGUCCUUCCAUAACUCCCUCCUCUCUUCCAUAGUGUUCAAAGCAUAAACAUAAAAUAAAAGAAUUCCUCUCCACUUUCAAUCCAAAUUGAGACUGUGAACACUUACCUACUUUUAAAGAAAGGCGUUACUCUGAUGUCUGGUCUCCACACCAACCAUAUUCUUCCUAAUGCAUUAAACUCAUAAUUUGAGAUCAUACUCCAACCCCAAAAGGCUGUCGAAAGUAUUUCCUCACUCCUACCCUCCUUAACUCUUGUUUCCAGCAACCCUCCAAACAUGAAAUUCUUGUCCCUUCCCCAAUUCUGUACAACCAUGUGCUUCUUUUUUUAUUUAUUAAAACCUCGAAUAUUCCAGAAGAAACCCGACAUAAUUAACACUUAUUGGUAUUACGUUUUUUACCCAUAGUACUUGCCAAGCUGCGCGUACUUUGAAUCUUCGUGUCUCCACCAUUCUUAGCAUGAAAUUUUGCAUUGCGAGUAGAUGUUCUCCGAGUGUUAACUUCAUCAACAAUCUCUUGCUUUUGCUGUUCAUUACAACUUGUGAGUAUCAGAUUCCACAGGCACUUGUUUCUCCAAAAUCUCACCUUCCUCAUUCAUAAUGUUCUCUCUCAUCUCAAUCCUCUCCCAAGAUGGCAAAACGAGAAGGAGAACUUAUGAUGUUUGAAUCUGCAUUUAUUUUUGAGAUUGACCUCAUUUGUUUUCCUGGAGACACAUUCAACCAGUCAUCCUUUGUUUCUUUAUGUUCUUCAGUCUGUUGAUGUGCACCAGCAACAAUUCUCUCCUCGUGAGCUUGGUUCUGAUCUACCACAAUAUUUCCAUCUUCCAAUCUCUCUUCUCCAUCGCUAACCAUUCUCUCCUUUUCCACUCCAUGAGUUAUCUCUGGCUCAACUGCUAGUGGUGCAGAGCUAGAUGCAUCACUUUCCUGAUCAAUUUGUUUCGAAGAGGACUCACUGCCUUCUACCUCCUUGGAAGGACCCUCUUACAUCUCUUUCCUCUGUAAUAUACAUAUGCUUUUUCCUUUUCCACUACAUUUUGCUCCUACAUGCCCCCAUUUAGAACAUAAACAGCACUUGGAUGGUACCAAGGAUACACGAACUGGACAUCAGCCACCACUCCUAGUUUUGAUUUAAAGUGAUGAGACUUCGGCAGUUCUUUAGUCAUAUUUGCUUCUAUAAAGACCUUUGCCUCCUCCAAAACUCUUGCUAAGUAGAGUGUCCGGGUGUAGCCUCUUAGGCUUUCCAACUGCACUGGCGAUGAACCCCAAGCCCUUCCAUGAAAACAUCCUUCUCGGCAUUUUCUUUAACGUUACCAAAUCAGUAUUGUAGUGAUCUCGACUUACUCCUCUUCCUCCUCCUCUGGAGACCAUUUUAACACUACCAUCGGGAUAUUAGCAAUGUUCCACAUUCCAUGACGUAAGAUCCGUGCUCGCGUGUUAGCGUCUUUGAUUCUGAACUUGACUAUAGUCUUGUCCACUUCAAAAACCUCGAUUCGUAUAGCUUGGCUUCCCAGAGGCCAGAUUUUAUUCACUAUAGCGUGAAUUUUUGCAACAUGAGGAGCAGUGCCCAUGAACUUUUCUUCGAUUAGAUCAUCCCAUAGAGGCACUGUGUUCUGGAUUAUACCAUCCGAAACUCCACAAAAUCCUUUCCCUCCUCUGAAACAUAAGCCAACACAUGUAUCGCCAAAACUGGUCCCGACUGAGCCACCCCUACCCACGAAGACGUCUUCCCUUCCUUAACUGUGUUAUUUUCCCUUGCUGUGUCCCCCAAAGGCGAAAACUCGGUUAGAUCCGUCAUCGGCCCGAACAGAGAUUACGUGUGUUAGAACCCAAAACCCUAGUCGCACUUCAAAUCAGACUUGCCACGUCAGCCCACUUUCUUUGGCUUGUUUUUUCCUUUCAGCUUUCAAAUUUUGACAGAACUCAGAUAAAAUAAUUAGACUAAACAACCCACCUAAUCAGCAACAAAGAACCAAGAAAUGAAAGAAAUGAAUCAAGACAUAGAACCGAAAGCCAAAAGAACACUGACACCUGAAAAGCAUAAAUGAAAUGAACAUAUGAUCGCCACAAGCUACCGAAAUAAUGGCACCCUAAAAUUCUAAAGCGAUGACUCCCGCAAUCAGUGCCAUCUUAAAUAUAAAUUACAGUCUAUUUCUUGCCUCUUUCUUAUAUUUUUCGUUUUUGGUUUGAAAUUCAGAUUUACUGUUUUUUUUUAAAUAAUAUGCCCUUUUACAUGUGGGUUCUCUCGAAGAGUGCAAUGCUGGCGCUUGUACUUACGCCGGCAUUGGUUACAUGGGUCAUCAUUUUAUAGUCUGAGGGUGAAUUGUUUCGGUAGCUUGUAAGUCGUAAUGAUCAAAUGUUCAUUUUAUUUAUGUUUUCUUUAGGUGCGUCAUUGCUCUGCUCAUUUGUUUCUCAUGUCUCGGUUCUUUGUCGUUGUUUAGGUUUCUUUGUUAGUUUGAAUUCUAUAUUUCCGCUAGUGUUCUAUCUAAUUCAGUCCAAAUUUGAAAUAUGGUAUCACAUUAAAAAAGUUAUAACUUGUAUUAAUUAAAAAAAUUUCAUGCUGAAUUCUCACGUAAUUAAAAUGCUAAUUUUGCUUAUGUAGCAGCUUGAGAAUCAAUUAAGAAUUUUGUUAGUCCAUAAUUAAAUUGCUAAGAAAUGUUAUAUUAUAUAGUAUGUUCAUUAUGGACCAUUCAUUUAUCAAAUUGAAUUCUUUCCUUAAUUAAAACCUACAAAAGUACCUAAUGUAAUUAAGAUAUAUAUGACAAUUAAUUAUUCUAAAUAAUAAAAAUUUGCUAACAAUCUGUAUAUUUUUUAUCAUUUUUGUUUAAUUAUUUAUUAUUAAAAUAAAUUACAUAAUUACUAAUAAAAAUUACGAUUUUUUUUUUUUGUAUAUGUUGUAUUUUGAAUUUUUCAAAACGAGUAUAAAUUACUAAAAUUGUUAAAAGUCUCACAUAAACUUUUGUGAUCAAGGUUUGAUUUUUUUUCUAUAAUAAGGUACAAUGAUUAUAAAAUCAUAUGAAUAAAUAAUUUUAUUUUAAUAUAUAUACAUAUUUCAUAUCUUUUAAAUUAAACUAUAUACAUCAUAUGCAAAUACAUACUUAUAUUUUGAUAUCUACGUUGAACAUAUAUUGAAAAGUUAAUAUUUUAAUUUUGAAAUCUUCAUUUUUUUUUAAAUAAUUAUAAAUUAUUGUAACCACUAAAAAUUCCACAUUAAAAACAAAAAUCGUUGGUGUAAAGUUUUGUUACACAAAUAUGCAAAUAAUCAUAAAAUCAUAUGAGUAGAAACCUCAUUUAAUAAAUAUCCAUAUUAAAAGUAUACUAUAUAUCUAUGUUAAUAUCAUUUAAAUUUAAUUAUAUAUAUAUAUAUAUAUCAUAUACGAUAAAUAAAAUUGAUUAGUUUGAUUUAUUUACCCUAAAAUGAUUGCGAAUAAACAAGAGCGAUUGUUUGAUUUAUAUGUGCACGCCAAUUUAUUACAUAAUAGUAACUGAUUUCUUAGUUAUUUAAUAUAUAAUUAUUAUUUUAUUAUUUCAUAAUAUGCAAAAAACAUAAAAUAAGUAAUAAAUAUAAAAUAUUUAUUCUGCUCAAUACGCGGAUCAACCUAAGUACAUAUCUCUUUAAUAAUUUUAAAUCUUAAACAUUUUCUAGCCAAAACAAAAUUACGAAAUGAGAAUAAACUCAAAAAUCAAUAUUUAUAUCGAGCAAUAAACAAAAUGAAAAAAACGACACAAAAAUGAGAAAAAUAUUGAAGAUAUUUAGGAUUGGCAUGUGAACGUAAACUUCCCAUAACCAUAAUUAACAUUUAAAUUGCUAAAUCAUUAUAUAAAACCAAGCUUUCAUAUUUUCAUUGUAACCAAAUUGUAGGCAUGAGAUUCUCCGGCCUAAACGUUAGGUUCUUAUGCGAUAAAUGAUUUUUUGACCUAAAAUAUUUUUAAAAUAGAAUCAGCUCAUCAGUAAACAAAUUAUGUAAUUAACAAAAAAAAAUUAAAAAUUAUUUAAGGGCCAAUAAUAUUUAUUCGAUCAAGAAUAUACAUUUUAUUUUCCCAUACAAUAUUUCUUAAACAAUUUUCAUAUAAAUUUGUCAUACGUAAGGCGCAUGUCUUAUCCUAGUAUACUUAAUAUAUUACCAAAAAAAUGUAUCCACAAAAUAUUAAUUUUACAGAAUUUUCCCAUUUUAUGUCUGAUCUGUUUCAGUUUGAUUUUCCUUUAAAAUUUUAAGGCUACAAAAAUGGAUAUCACUGAUGAUUAUUUAGGAGACUAGAUUCCAUGUUCUGUGCCGUGCUGCCGUGCUGGAAAUGCUUUUAGUACUAUAACCCAUGUUCAAAAAUGCGGCCUAGUUAGCCGACUUCGCACCGGUUAAACACAACUCGGUAGUGCUCCGCUGCGAUUUUGUGUUAUUCGGGUAAAAAUUCGGAUUUCAAAAAAAGUAUACAUAUUUUGACAUUUUCCGGUUCGAAAUCUGUCCUUUAAGCAUAUAUCUAUCAUCUAUAUUAUUAAAACUGAAGUACCUUUUGGUACUGUUUGGAAACUUAGAUAGUAGAUCAAAUGAAAGUUGUUUGAAAAAAAAGAUAGCAUAUUAAAUAUUUUUUUUUUAUAUAUUUAGUCACUGUAUUUCUUUCUCAUUUACAGAUUCUGUCGUUUGGAAACUUGGAUAAAAGAUUAAAUGAGAAUUGUUUGGAAACACGAAUAGCAAAUUAAAUAUUUUUUCUUAUUUACACAUGUAGCUAUUGCAUUUCUUUCUUAUUUACAAAUCUGUCACCUCACUUAAAAUCAAAAUUUUAAAAUUAAUUAAUUACAAUGAAUUCUUUUUUUUUUUGCUGAAAAUAAAAAACACAAACUGUAAUAUAUAGUAUAUAUUAAUCUGAUACAAUACAAUUUUCAAGAAAACCAAAUAUCAUAAAAUUAAUAAUAAUUUAUAAAACCUACUGUAAAAAAUUAAAUCAAUUUAAAUAAAUAAACAAAAAAAUAAAUAGGUUAAUAUAUGAAUAUUACAAUUACAUCAAAUUGCAUCAAGUUAUAAAAUUAUAAAUAUAAUAUUGUGUACAAAUAAAAAUUAUCAAACAUCUAUAUUAUAAUAUAUUAUAUUAUACUCUAAAUAUAUUUUACAAAACAUAAAAAUAUAAAUGGACAUUUUAUAAAAUCAAUGGUUUAUAAAUUUACAUUGAAUGCAAAUUAAAUCCAAAACCUGCGCGGAACCGCAUGUCAAGAUCUAGUAUUUCAUUGUUACCGAUCAAGAAUCGAAGAUAAUCGUCAAAGAAAAAAAUUAUUUAUGUUAAAAAUAAAUAAAAAAAACGGUUGUCGUUGGAGAAGAAACAAGUCGAGAGGAAGAUGAUGUAACUAAAAUUACAAAUGUGUCCUUUAUUAAUGAAAUGUUAAAAAAGCAAAAAAUUGACAUUUUUUUUUAAUCGAACCCGGGAGAAGAGAACUAGUUAUUAUAAGAACUUGCAUGCAUGAAAUUCUACGCGUACAGUUUUACUCGUUGACUUUAGAUAUUAUAGACUAAGAGCAUUGAUUAAUUAGAGGUUUUUACGAUGAAGUUCUUAGCAGAAUUUAAGAAACUGUUUCUUAACUUUUUAGUAAAAAAAGUUAAGAAUCGAUUUUUAAAUAAAGACUUUAAGAACCAGUACUUAGUUUUUUAGUUAAAAAUUAAAAAACAGAUUCUCAAUUUGUGUUAAUAACCUCACUCUAAAAACCCUCGGUAAAUCAUGGUGUAAACAUCGUAUAGCGGUACGAUGCAAGUUUAGACGAUGCAAGUCCUUACGGUACAUUGUAAAACUAUACCGACAUUGUCAAUGUUUAGUCUACGCGUACAGUUAUAACUCACUAGUUAUUUAUAUUAUUAUUAUUAAUUUAUUAUUAUGGCGGAGUCACAUGCAUGCAUGAGAUUCAUUCAUUCAUAAUGUCACACUCACACACUAUCCAUUCCCCUUUGUUUUGGUUAUAAAGAAAAUAAAAUUCUUAAAGUGACAAACUUCACGGGUUACACUGUGUUACUACCCGCCAAAUUCUACCCGCCACCUUUUAAAUUUCAUUUUAGUUUCUUCACCGUCAAUAAAUCGUCAGGACAAAAUAAUUACUUUUAAAUUUCAUUGUUUUAUCUUACCAAGUGUGGUCAGUAUCUCUAAUAAUUUUGAAGAAUAUUUAGAAAACUAAUUAGAUAAUAAUUUUCGACGAUGUUAAUAUAUAUGUCGAAGUAAAUAAGGUAAAAAAAAUGGUUCAUUUAUGGUUUUAUAUGGCAUUAAAAUUUUGAAUAUUGACUAUCAGAUUCAGUAUAUCAUUUGGAAUAAAAACAAAAGUAACCUAAAACUUAUAGAUUGAUCUUCUUUUCAGAAUGCAUAUGCAUUUACAGAUUUAGUAUCCUUUGAAUUAUUAAUUAUCAAAAAAAAAUUGUAUCCUUUGAAUUAUCGAUUAUACUAGCCAGAAUUACAUGUUGACCUAUUUACAUUAUAUUUGAAAUCCCAUAGUGAAUACGCGCACCAUGACUAGUAUUACUAUUAUUGUAUUAUAUUAUAUUUACAUUAAUAUGUAAUAUGAAAAAACUAUAAAGAGAAUCAUCAGUCACGGACAUCAUGACUCAAUCACUCUAAGCUAGAUACGUAAUAUCUUUCAGAAGCGUGGGACUAAAAUAUUACAAGAAAUAGCUUCGAACAAUUCAAUGAAGUUAGCAUGGUGAAAAAUAAUCUUGAACCCAACAGACUACUUUUGGUCGGGACCCCAAUAAGUUGGAACUUUGUUCAAGAUUUAUCAACCUAUGUAUAUGAAUAGUUGAAUAGUGUAUAUCCCCAAGAACUGAUUCUCUUUUUCCUAUUUGUAUAGGCAAAGACAUAAACUAGCACCCGAGAGAACUUGCCUAUGAUCCUCUCUCAAAAAAAAAAGUGGACCUAACAAGGAAGGAACAAGACAAAAAGAGUGAGAACGAUGUUUUUUUAUCAUAUCUUGUAACUAUAUAGAGAAUUGGAGGUGUCUCGCAAGUCAAGUAGUAAUCACAAAACCCCUUCAUAAAUUGUCUACCCACUGGGCACUACACUACAACAACCUUUGGUUGCUCCCAUUGUUUUCACCUAUAAAUUACAAAUAUGACUAUGCCUAAGGUUCUUAAAAAACUUUUUAAUGCCAAUAAUAUAACGAAGGUUUAAGUUAGUGGCUUCUAAAACGCUUAGACUAUGCAUUCUCUAAUAUUGAUUAUAGACUAAACAUUGACAAUGUCGGUACAGUUUUACGCGUUGGCUUUAGAUAUUAUAAGGACUUGAUCUGAGGUUUAGUUAAAAUAAGGUGCAAGACAUAAGACAUGAUUCUUAAAAGGUACUAGCUUAAGAUCCGUGCAAUUGCGCGGAGUGAAUGUUAUAUAUAAAACUAAUUUUAAUCUAUUAUUAUUUAUAUUUAUUUACGUAUUAUGUAUAUAAUUUAAUUAGAGUAAAUACAUAAAUCAAAACAAUACAUCUUGUUUAUUUAUGAUAUUUUUUUGGUAAAUAAAUCAAAACAAUCAUUUUAUUUAUUUUAUAUGGUAUAUAACUAAAUUUCAAUAACAUGGACAUAGAUAUAUAAUAUAUUUUAAUAUAAAUAUUUAUUAUUGAGAAUUCAUACUCAUAUGAUAAACACAAAAUUUCUAAUAUGCAAUUUUUAAUGCAAAUUUCAAAAUUAAAAUAUUAAGGUCCAAUACUUUUUCAGUACAAAUUUAGAAAUUAUCAUAUUUAAGUAUUACUCCAUGUUAUAUAGUUUAAUUUUAAACUAUAUUAUUAUAUAACAUGAAUGUCUAGUAAAUGUGACUUCAUAUUCAUACGAUUUAUAAUCAUUUGUAUCUUGUUAUUACCAAAAAAAGUUAAACCAUUGAUCACAAAAUUUCAGUGUGAGACAUUUAACAUUUUAAUAAUUUAUAAUCGUUUUAAAAAUUCAAAAUAUAACAUAUAAUUUUUUUAUUUUUUAUUAUAUGGUUAAUGUUGUUGUUUAAUAUCUUUUAAUAAUAUAAAAUUAAACAAAAAAAAAGCUAAGAUACAAAAUUUAUCAUCAAAAAUUUAUUAUUCAUAAUCAUUAAUUAUCAUAUAUACGUUAAUCAUAUUAGGCAAUUCUGUAAUUUUUAUUUAAGGAAAGUGCGAGAAUAUUAUUUUGUACAUUAUUUAUAAAUUUAAUAGUUAGUUUAAUAAAAAGUAUAAUAUAAGUUAAGAUAGAUCAACCUAUUUUUCCAAGAAUUCUAAAAUUCAUUUUUAUGUUGACACAUGAAUACAAAAUAUUAUCGUAAUGUUUCUGAUUAAUAUAUAAGAGAUUAUUGGCAUGCUUCACGAAGCUAAUAUUUGACCAAAUAUGCAAAUAUAAACUAUGGAAAUUUCUUAGGAACCUACUAGUAAUGAAAAUCAUUGGAGAUCGUACUAUCGUUAUUCGUUACUGAUUCUUUAGCAAAAAUAAACAUAUAAGAAAUGAUUAUGCGAGUUUAUGUUGCUGAGUGCUACAGUGAUAGUUUUGUUUUUCUAAUUAAGCAUUUUCAUGUUUUUGUUUUUCUAAACAUUUUCAUGUUGUUUGUUUUUCUAUACAUUUCCAUGUUACGGUAUAUAUAGGCUGAGCAUGUCCAAGCUAUUCAAAAUUAACCGAAUCGUGGAACAGAUCCAGUAACUAGCUAAUUCAUAGUUCUAUUAAAAUUGAGGUUAACAAAGGUAUAUUCAACCAGCGUAGCUGGCCCAGAUGGUCUUGUGGGGAAAUAAAAAACCCUAAUACGGAACACGCGGGUUCGAUGCGCUGGCCAGACAAUUGGGGUAUCUAAUUCCCUAUAGUACCAAAUGGUCCGCCUCGCGCCGAGGGGUUGGCCCCUGGAGAUGGAAGUCCCUCCAGGUUAAACAAAAAAAAAAAAAAAAAAAAAAAAAAGGAAAAAAAAAAAAAAAAAAAAAAAAAAAAAAAAAAAAAAAAAAAAAAAAAAAAAAAAAAAAAAAAAAAAAAAAAAAAAAAAAAAAAAAAAAAAAAAAAAAAAAAAAAAAAAAAAAAAAAAAAAAAAAAAAAAAAAAAAAAAAAAAAAAAAAAAAAAAAAAAAAAAAAAAAAAAAAAAAAAAAGGUAUAUUCGUAUAUAAAAGAAAAAAAAAACAAAUAAAUGAAUAGUAACAAAACUAGAGAGAGAACAGAAAGGAAUAUAGAUUUUGCCGAAACUUUUCUAAGGGCAGUGUCUGAGUAUUUUUUUGGUAAUCAUGUUAAAUCAGUGUCUGAGUUCUUCAAACCUUCUCAGACUUGUCGUUUGUAAUUAAUCAUUAUCUGGCCGAUUAAAAAUGAUUAAUGUAUUUGAUUUCGUGUUUUCCGAAUGCUUUCACACUAACCAAUUACAUUUUCACAAAAUUUACAAAUAGGUUCGUAGAGCAUGCAGCCAUGUGAUGAGCACAAAAGUGAAAAAUUCUUUAGCAGUUUACUUAUAUCAACGUAAAUAGCGAAUGUUAUUCCUAAAUUUCCCUGAAAAGAUAAGAAUCUACGACUACAAAGAUACGCCAAUUUAGGAAAGUAUGACAAACCCUUUUAUUUUCGUUUUGGAACUAAGUGACCUUAUACCUGCUUAAUAAAAUCUAAUAUUCCAAUCAUCUAAUCACAGUUUGGUGCUUACACUAUUAAAAAUAAACAAAUAUCGGCGAAUACUUUUUCUAUAAAAGGUGCACACUAUCAUAUACCUACUUACUAAGUCGUUUACACAACCCAAACCCUCAUUCUAAGAGAUGGGGUCUCACACACAAAACCUCUCUUUUCUUAUCCUCCUUCUCCUAGGCUUCCUUGCUGUCUCAUUCGCUUGCGAAUGUAGCCCUCCUAAACCAUCACCGAGUCCUCACAAACCGCCUAAACAUCCCGUCAAACCGCCUAAACCACCAGCAGCCAAACCACCAAAACCACCGGCAGUAAAACCUCCUAAACCCCCCACCAAACCUCCCACCCUUAAACCACACCCCCACCCUAAACCUCCCACUAAACCCCCCACCGUUAGACCACACCCACACCCUAAGCCCCCUACCAAACCUCAUCCCAUCCCAAAACCGCCCACCGUUAAACCACCACCCUCCACCCCCAAACCGCCCACAAAACCACCCACCGUUAAACCGCCUCCAUCCACCCCUAAGCCGCCCACCAAACCACCCACCGUCAAACCACCACCCUCCACCCCAAAACCGCCCACCAAGCCACCCACCGUCAAACCACCUCCGUCCACCCCUAAACCACCUACCCACAAGCCACCAAUAGUGUGCCCACCGCCAACACCAACACCAACCCCACCUGUUGUAACGCCACCAACACCACCAACACCAACUCCACCAGUCGUUACGCCACCAACACCAGCUCCACCUGUUGUAACGCCACCAACACCAACACCACCGGUCGUAACGCCACCGACACCAACCCCUCCUGUCGUAACACCACCAACACCACCGGUCGUAACGCCACCGACACCAACCCCUCCUGUCGUAACACCACCAACACCACCGGUCGUAACGCCACCGACACCAACCCCUCCUGUCGUAACACCUCCAACACCACCGGUCGUAACGCCACCGACACCAACCCCUCCUGUCGUAAUACCUCCAACACCACCGGUCGUAACGCCACCGACACCAACCCCUCCUGUCGUAACACCACCAACACCAACUCCACCUAAGCCAGAAACAUGCCCAAUCGACACGUUGAAGCUAGGCGCUUGUGUAGACGUUCUUGGAGGUUUGAUUCACAUCGGGCUUGGUGGAAGUAGCGCCAAGAAAGAGAGUUGUCCGGUUUUGGGAGGCUUAG
This 57062-nucleotide long non-coding RNA is filed under the name Brassica napus (rape). Its description in RNAcentral is "long non-coding RNA (BNAP_LNC017666)". Lineage: Eukaryota; Viridiplantae; Streptophyta; Magnoliopsida; Brassicales; Brassicaceae. The record is from RNAcentral.